AAGCCGCAUGGCCUACCUGUGUGGUCAAAUCUUUUGAUAUAACAAUCUACUCAACGUUUUCAAUGUAAAUAGCAUUAAUCUUUAGUACAUUAAUUCAAAUAAAAUUGUGGCUCAAGGGAACAGUUAAUGAUCCACAUGGCAUCAAAGUAUCUUACUAAAUUGUAUAUUACACGUGUGUAUUGCAUUAUGUGUGUGCGAAUACCUUUUUUCACUGUCAGUCUAUAUUAGUUUUGAAUUCUGAGUUGAUUGAACAAACAUGUUUCUUUUUAUUGCAGAUUAAUUUGGUUCUCGCUAAAUGAAUCAAAGAUCACAAGACUAGAACUAGUGGUUUCCAAAAAAGGUUGGUUCUUGAAUAGUUUCAUUUAUGCUUUUUCAGUUCUUUGAAUGGACUUCCUAUAAUCCAAAAUGAGCUAUUGAACAACUCUUUCGCUACAUUGUGUUUGCAAAUCAAUAUUUAGGCUAAUAAUUGAAGGCUGAUUCUUUUUUGUUGAAAAAUGUAAUCUAGAUUCUUAAAACUGUGGCGAUUAAUGUGGUUUUUAGGUGAAUUUUUCAAGUGGGGGAGAAGGGGUGGGUGGUCGCUUUAAAUUGUUAUUCUCAAUUGGUAAAUAAAUAUUUAAAUGUGCAAAACAUGGAUAUCAUGGAAGAAUUCAAAUGUUUUUCUUGCAUUAGGUUGGAGAGCAUGAUCACUUUCUGUUUGCACAUCACAAAGUUUGUUUUGAGUACUUCUCACACCAUUGAGGCACAAAUGUUCUUCAUGCAUUAGUUAAUUUUCUUUAUAUCAAAAUUUAAUAAUUUCAAUUUUCCUUUGUAUCCAAAUGUAUUAAAGUAAUUGUGAUUGAAGUUUGUUUAUGUCUACUUUCCAAGAUUUAUUUUUUGUUUACAUGUCUCACUCCGCUUAUGAAUGCUUUUUGGUUAACUGAAAGAAUGCUUUUCAUUCUCGGUUUUCAAGACUCUAUCUACCGUUUACAAGUCAACCCCACAAUACCAAAGUACAAGAGAAGCAAAGAUUUGAGGUGAUUUUUUCUCUAACUUAUUUAGAUUUUAUAUUCUGGGUUAAUUAUCAACCGGAUUCUAUUACUAGAUUUAUAAUUGUAAUUUGGUACCAUUGCUGCCUCUUGCCGCUUCAGCUUUCACAUCCUAAUGCCACAACAUGCUAAGUUUAAAUUCUACGUUAUGGGUAAGCAUUAGGCUAUUCAAGCCCUAGUUUAAAUGUAUGAUUGAUUUGCAUGAAAUGAAUGAAAAAGAGAGUUAGAAUACCCUGUGAGAUAAUUCCAGAAACCAUUUUAAAUAAAACGUAUCAAAAGUGUUGAAUGGAGAGUGAAAAGAUUCUUUGCAUGGAAAACAGAUUUAACUUUGUUUUCUUUACUCAAAGUGCUCUUAUUUAAUUUGGUUCUGUUUCCGUUGCGUAGUUGAUGGUUCAUAGCAACUAAGAAUCAUUUCCUAAGAAAUCUAUUGAGCUAAGUUCUUUUUGGUAGGAAAUUAGGGUUGCUGAUGUUAGCAAUGGAUUGAGUCUUUCUAUUUGGUAUGAUUAUAUCUCUGAACAAACAUUAAUAAAUACAACGAUUUCGAUCAAUAAUUUUAUUCGGUCAAGAUUCAAACUCCCAUUGUAGAGCAAACUAUAACUCAAACUCCCAUUGCAGAUCAAACUAUAAGUCAAACCUCCCAUUCUAGAGCAAACUAUGAGUCAAACCUCCAUUUCAGAGCAAAUUGGGAACGAGAAGCAGUAGGGCAUGGCUAUUUCCGGGGCAUCGGUUGUUUUGAGAUUCUGGUGUAAUUAGGUUUGAACAUUUUGCUCCUUUGCUUUUUGAUUUGUAUACAUCUUAAAUUUCUCUCAAUUGCUAAUGGAUUUAUUUUCUUUGAAAAUUUCAGAAAGUCGGGUUGUGGGAGGAACAAGCUAGUUUGUUGUCAUUUUUAUGUAUGUAAUCAUCUGCCCUGGUAGCAUAUUCAAAGCCUAUUUAGUUAUAUGAAUUUUUUUAUUUAUCUUUCUAAAGCUUUUGUGCCUGGAUUUGAACUAUGUGAUUGGUAAUUACUUAGCACGAUAAUUGUCAAGCAUAUGAUCGUUAUUCAUGAGUACAAAACCUUCAUUCACAAAUCACAAGUAUAUGAUGAGUUAUUUAGAAAUUCGGCAUUUUCGUCAUCCAAUUCAAUAGCAUUUGGGAUACUAUACUAGAAUUCUAUUACAGCUCCAGUUAAGAGAUGUGAAGCAUGAAGAAUAUCUCUUUAGGAAGUGUUAGCUAAUCUGGUUAGUUGGUCAACUAAAUUAGCCAUUUUUGUCAUUUAGAUUGGAUAACCUAGGGAGAAUGUUAGAAUGAUUGAUCACAUUCGUUAGCCCUAUGUUUUUUUAUUGCGUAAUGAUGGAAUUGAUGCGUCAUUUAGUCAUAGUAAUUGAUGUAAUAAGUGCGUAUCAACUGCCGCAUUCACUCAUCUAUCCCUCUUUUCAUUCAGGUAAAAUGUAUCUUAUUCAUGCAGUUCAAGGUGAUGCAUUCAAGUCUCGCAGCAACGUGCGGGCACAUUUUCUAGUAUUAUCCAAAUGAAGAAACAUUCUCAGAUAUAUCCCUUAGAUCAAAGGAUAUAUUUUAUGGAAUACAACUCUCAUCACAAUCUUCAAAUCUGUCAUUUUUUUCAUCUGAGUUGCUAUUUGCUUAAUGAUGAGGUCAUAUUAUACUAUAUAUUUUAUUGAUUAUUUUGGUAGAAUUUUGAUACCUUGUUAUGUAUUUUCAAUGUAGGACAUUUGACUUCCUUUGGAGAAAAAAGUGAUCAAACGGAUGAUUUUAGAGUGAUUCAAAUUGGAGGACGUUCAUGUGUUCCUUAACUUGUUUGUAUCAAAGUUUCGUAAUUUUCUACCAAGAUGUUUAUUUAUGGAAAUGAAAUAAAAGAGCAGUGCGCAGUGCUACCAAAUUGGUGUUCUGUGCUUAUUUGGGCUUUUUGCCGCCCAAGAUGAUGCCUUUUCGGUUUAAGGCCUUUUGCAAUUAUGUUGGGGAAAUCUCAAGCUUUAAUUCAAGUUGUUUUGGGCCUGUUUUGGAGCCCUUGAAGUCUAAAAACGUGGCUGAUUUGUGGCUGGACAGAUGUUCCAUAUUUGAUUAGGAUUAUGUUUCCUAGUUUUUAGAAGAUCUUUUCUAGGUAGGAUUUUAUUUUGUAGUAAUAUAAAUAAGGCUUUUAGCCAUUAGGGUUUUUUAGAGAGGGGGAGAAUGUAACAUCCCACAUCGCCCAGGGGAGUGGAUCUUGUAAGCCUUAUAUGUAUAUUCUCAUCUCUACCUAGCGCGAGGCUUUUUGGGAGCUCACUGGCUUCGGGUUCCAUUAGAACUCCGAAGUUAAGCGAGUUCACGCGAGAGCAAUCCCAGGAUGGGUGGCCCACUAGGAAGUUCUCGUGUGAGUUUCCAGAAACAAAACCUUAAAGGCGUGGUGGGGGCCCAAAGCAAACAAUAUUGUGCUACGGUAGAGUCGAGCUUGGGAUGUGGUGGGGGCUCGGGGCGGGAUGUGAUAAUAUGGUAUCAGAGCCAAUCCCUGGUCGGAAGUGUGCCGACGAGGACGUUGGGUCCCUAAGGGGGAUGGAUCGUAAUAUCCCACAUUACCCAAGGGAGUGGAUCCUGUAAGCCAUAUAUGUAUAUUCUCAUCUCUACCUAGCGCGAGACCUUUUGGGAGCUCACUGGCUUUGGGUUCCAUCAGAACUCUGAAGUUAAGUGAGUUUGCACGAGAGCAAUCCCAGGAUGGGUGACCCAUUAGGAAGUUCUUGCGUGAGUUCCUAGAAACAAAACUGUGAAGGCGUGGUGGGGUCCCAAAGUAAAUAAUAUCGUGCUACGGUAGAGUCUAGCCCAGGAUGUGGGGGCUCAGGCCAAGAUGUGACAGAGAACACAUACAAUUUCGGGACCCAUUACUUUGGAGCUUUUGACGAUUCAAGUUUGUUUUCAAGGUGUUUUCUAUCCAUGUUCUUAAUAAUAUUUUGUUUUAUCAUUGUUCAUAACUAGUGUCGUUUGCUAGGGCAAGGCCACUAGCCUUAGCAAGAAUAUGUAAUUUCUUUUCAAUUUACUUAUGAUAUAUGCAUACAACUUUUCAAUUAUUAAUCACCGGUUUAAACUAUCUAAUUGCCUUGAUGAUUGGCCACCAUUAGGAUAUUUAGAAAAGUAAUUUGAUGCAAUUUUGGCAAAGGGUUGUCCCUGAAAUUGACGAUGGCUUCUUGUGAUUAAUAUGUGUAACUUCUUAGGAUGAAUGACACAUUUUAAGGGUUAUAUGGUUUUUCAAAAGGUUUUCACAAAACUUAAUGAGUUUUGCAUGUUCACAUUCGAUUUGGACACAACGAACUAGUUGCAUGUUAGAUAUACGUUCUAUGUUAGAGGUUCCAAGUAAAAUAUACUCUAUGAAAACCUAACCUUCAAAAUUGAUAAGAGCAUAUUUAUGCGACUGAGUUAGCUUGUUCUCAUGCAUUUAUGUUGUUAUUUCUUAGUUAAUUAUGUAUUUUAAGCUAUUUUCGUGUGUUUGUAGGUCCAUAGGUCUUAUAAAGCAAUAAGAUGCAUUUUGGUGCAUUUUGGAGCAGUUUUGGGCUUGGAAUGGAUAGCACAUGCAUGGAGCAAGAUGGAUGGACGAAAUUGAAGGCUAAAGAGGCUAGGAAUGUGUUAAAAAGAAAGAAGAAUUAGUGUAAAAAGGAUAAAGAGCUCAGCCACAAAGGGGUAUCACUCCACCAUUCACCUUUCCAUCAUUGUCGUGCACCACCAUUGCACUCCCUUUGGAUUCCUAUGCCGUGCAUCAUCAUCCAUGUUCCCUCCAUUGACUCAUUUGUUGCAUCAUUCCACUUCCUUUCCUUUGUCUACCAUGUGCACAAUAUCCUUUCACCUCCUUGCACUCAUUGAUCCACCACUUACUCACCUUUCCACCCAUGCCAUGCAUCACCAUUCAUUGUUCCCUCCAUCAUUCCAGAUUUCAUGCAUCAUUGCACUGAAUCAUUGCACUCAAUUGCUACACCAUUCCUUGUUCCCUCCAUCAUUUUAGAUUUCAUGCAUCAUUGCACUCAAUUGCUACACCAAUCCAUGUUCCCCUCCAUUGCCAUGCACUUCCUCUAUAAAAGGAAGUGUGUGUAACAUAAAUUGAGUUCAUACUUUGUUAGAUCAUUCACUCUCAUUUCAACACAACCUUCAUCCAAACACAUCCAUUCAUCUUCACAUCCAUUCCUCCAUACAAACAAACCUUCAAACACUCACCAACACCUUGUGCCGUAGCAAAGGAAGGGAAAGAAAGUGCUUGGACGUGCUUGAUGUCGAACUUGGAUCGUUGGAGCGUUUAGGUGUUUUCUUUCUUUUGUUUCUAAUUUUUAAAUUAAUUUCCUUUCAUUUUGUUGUAAAUAUAAGUGGCUAAACCCCUCUUGGCUAGGGGUGAGUUCAAAGCCAUGAUUAUGUGUGCAAUAUAAUUUGAUAAAUUCCAGUUAUGAACUCUUGAAUCGUGAAUGCAAUUGGCUUAACUAUUUGAUUGAUAACUUAUUUGUAUUUGUUAAUUAAGGAUCAACACUUAAUUGGCAUGCAUAAAUCCGUUGCUAGAAUAUAAGGAAGUUUCACAUAAUCGUUACAAACUUAUAUUCACAUGUAGUGAAGGUCGCUUAUAAACGAUUGCGUUAAGUUCAAUUCCUAGCAUAAGCGACAUGAUGUCAUAGUUGCAAGUGCUUUGUCAAUGCUUAUGAUUUUCAUUAGACGUAAUGAUGUUUGAUUGUAUCUCUAUUAUGAUGUCAUGUGGGGAACUUUUGAAGAAUGUUUUGGGUUGUAGAAUGAUGUCAUCCAAUCCAAUAAAACAAGGAAAAUCUGAAAGUUAACUAGUGAUGUCAUGGUAAAUUUGGAGCAUUGUCGUUCAUAAUUUAAUGAAGUAGUAACUGGAAAUGAAGUUAUUUGCAUACAUGUCAUGUGUGGAGAAAAAGCCUCUAGCUAUCCCAUCCAUCAUUUUAUUUCUCACAUUCGUAUUACAAUAUGUCUAGUUUUUCAUACUUGUUUGUUUGUUACAACUUCAUCCAAAUCAAAACUCCCCUUUUAGUUUCUUGUUUCAAAGUGUUUCAAAUCUGUUUUAGUUUAUGUUUUUAAAUGUUUUGAUUCAAGUAAAAGUCAAUUUUCGUCCAAAGUCAUUCCUAGUGUCUAGUUUAAGUUUAUUUAGUUGUUUUAAGCUGUUUUGAGUAUUUUAAGUUUGCUUUGAGUCUUGUGAGUCUUGUUAAGCGUUUAUAAGUUUAGUUUUAUGUUUUUGAGUCAGUUUAGAGGUUAUUAGCAAGCCCUCCUAAUCCCUGGUACAGAACGAUCCCUACUUAUACUUGUACUACAAUUGUCAAAAGAGGGUUAAAUUUGUGUGUUAAGAUAAUUUUCGCAUAAAAAAUAUACAUGGGUAAUUCAUAAGUACGUAGGAUUGUUAAGGUGAUGGCAGAUCUCUAAUGCUCAAAUUUAUUUUCAAAACUAUUUUAUUUUGUUUUCUUUACUUUGCCAAUUUAUUUAAUUAUUUUUAAUUAAAUUCGUUUUUAAUAUUUUAGGUCACAAAAUCAACAUUUUCCAAACUUUGUUUUCAAAUAAUUAAUUAAGUUUUGGUUUUAACAUAAAUUAUUCAUUCAAUCCCUGUGGAGAACGACCUUACUUGAGAUGCUAUACUACGAUAACCUUGUACUCUUGCAAGUAUUUUUAAGUGUUUUUAUCCCUACUUUUACAGGUGGUAAAAAUCCCUAUCACUUAAUAUGGUGCAAAUGUGUCAAAGAUUUCAGUCAUCUCAUAAGUCUAGGAUAGGACAAUUGAACAAAAACGCAAAAUAAGAAAGAAUGGAAAAAGCACUAUAAUUUUCAAUUCAAAAUUCAGUCAAUUGACGCAAUUUCUGUUAAGCAGCCUGGGUCGUUCAUAUCCAGCAACCUGCUAUAUAUUCAUAUAGAUGCACUUUUUAAGAAGGAUCAUAGAAAUCUCAAAAAAUGUAUGUAACCUCAAAUAUCAAUACGGUCCAAUGAUAUGAACCGUCCAUUUGUUAAAUGCCUAUUCAAAGAUCCAAUAAUACAAAGUCAUUUAAUUAUCAACAAAUAGAGAGAAGAACACAAUCUUUCCAAAUAUUUAUGUUGACAAUAAGAUGAUCAAACAAUCUCCAAUUUGCCAACUUUUUACAAGGAUGGUUCUUAAAUGAAGAUAUAAACAUUAGACAGUUUGGAACAUUGGAAUUCAAGUGGCUCUAACAAUGCGACCCACACAAAUGUUGCGAGCUUAGGUCACAUAUUCAGACAAAACUCAACCUUAUGAACGAAUCUUAAGUUACCAGACUGUCAGCAGUCUGCCAAGAGAACCGAUCCAUCUAAGUUUGUCUUUUAAAGUAUUACAAAUACUAGGUAUAACCAGGGUUGGCCCUGAGAAUUUGGGGGCCCUAGGCGAGCCUUUGAAGUGGGGCUCUAAAGUUCUCUAAUCUCCGGAUCUUUGUAUAUUGAUUUGUAUAAAAAAAAAAUAUUCUAUUUUCACACAUCAAAUAUCAUUAAAAAUUAAUAUCAAGAAAAGAUAAAUAUACAAACAUUACUUAAACAUUACAUGGCUCACGUUUUUAGACACAAUUGUACUAAAUGUUUGCAGUCAAGAGUCUACGAUUGAGAGUGAAGAACAAUAAAACUUGAUAAUCAAGAGAGUCAAGAACAAUAAAACUUGAUUGACGAGUAUAAUAAAUUCAACAAUGCCAAUUGUUUCUCUUGUGUGUUUUUUUUUCUUUCUAAAAUCAACAUCACACUAAUGAAUUGAAUAUUAAAAUAAAGGAAAACUAAUGAAAAGGGCUUCAAAACUUUGAGUUUUAACCAAAAACCACCUACUAACUUUAUUUAAUGAUAAGGACAAGAGAAAAAAAAUAAAAAAAUACAUAACGAAAGUUUGAUCCAGGCUUUUUGUUGUACAAAGAAUAACUUCCCACUCAGAGAAGGCAACAGAGAGUAGGCUUUUAGCAUUGCUAUAAACCUCUAUUAAUCGGAACAACUAAAUAAAAUGUAUAGCCAUGAAGUAUAGCAGUCCUUGGAACAAACUGUAUCAGAAGAGGAGAAGCCAACUAAUUGGUCGAAUGCCGCCACAGGAGCAAUCAAGAAAAAGGUAAAUUGACUUCCAUUUUGCAUUAAAUCAACAUCAUUUGGAUUCUUGAAUGCUGGUCUCAUAGGUGAAACAAGCAGAGCAGCCGUCUUUCCUCUUUCAGCUCUAUGUAAAACCUGAAAUCAUUCAUCAGCAAAAUGUAAGUAUAUUCACUAACAAACACCACUAAGGAUGUGCAACACAACAGAACAUCCACCAUCGAAAUGGUGAGGUCCUUGAGGGCUUCGAUGGUGCCUUCUUCUCCAUUGGGCAUGAAUUUGCCACAACCAUCCGUAGCAGUCCCUCAUAUGGUUGCUGCAUGGUUCUUGAGGCAUUCCUUAUAGUAAGUUUUCAAAAUCAGUGCCGUAAGUUUCAUAAAUAGUGUUAUAAGUUUUCAUAAACAGUGUAGUAAGUUUCAUAAAUAGUGUACCGUGAGUCUAUGUGUCAGAUUUUUUUGUCCUUUUUAUUAAAAUUAUGUCUUUUUCAUUAAAAUUUAAGUUAUGUUGUCCUUUUUAUUAAAAUUUAAGGGGUUUUCAUUAAAAUUUAAGUCUUUUUAAUUAAAUAAAGUUAUAGUAUUGUUGACACACCCCAACCUAAAUCAAGGCAUGCUGGCCGUCACGUGGGAGUGACGUAACCAUGUGCACAAUGCGGAAGCAAUAAAGAUAUAAAGGGAUUGAGAAGGAAUAAAAACCAAACUACUAGCAGAACUAGUUAAGAUAGAGUGCUAGUGAGAGAUUAAGUGUGAAUUACACAACCAGAGCAAAAAUAUCCUAAGUGCAGUCAAGCAGGACAAGUACUAAUAAUACAACACCCGAGGGUGAUCCUACAUGGUGAUGUUCUGUCAGAACCCCUGUCAGAAUCCUCGUGAUCCACCAAAGCACUUCUACUUAAAACCUGGAGGGGCGCAAAACAGAAAGUGUGAGUGGGAAAAAACAAAGCUUUUCAAAAUCAUUUCAUUUCUUAAAUAUUCUAACCCCUCGCUGUAAAACCUCUAUAAUUUCCCAGAAAAUAAUAAUAAUGAUAAGCUGUAUCCGAAAUCAUACUCAAGCAAUUGGCAAAUCCCAUAGAUUAAUAUAGAUUUCGGAUCACAGCUCUCAUCAUUAUUAUUAUUUUCUGGAAAUUAUAGAGUUUUACAGCGAGGUUAGAAUUUUGAAAUGAAAUGUUUGAAACUUUGUUUUUUCCCACUCACACUUUCUGUUUUGCGCCCCUCCAGGUUUAAGUAGAAUGCUUUGGUGAUCACGAGGUUCUGACAGGGGUUCUGACAGAACAUCACCAUGUGGAUACCCUCGGGUGUUGUAUAUUAUACUUGUCCUGCUUGACUGCACUUAGGAUAUUUUUGCUCUGGUUGUGUAAUUCACAUUAAUCUCUCACUAGCAUCUAUCUUAACUAGUUCUGCUAGUAGUUUGGUUUUUAUUCCUCUCAAUCCCCUUUAUAUCUUUAUUGCUUCGCAUUGUGCCAUGGUACGUCCUCCCACUGACGGCCAGCAUGCCUUGAUUUGGUUGGGUGUGUCAACAAUACUAUACUUAUUUAAUUAAAAAGACUUAAAUUUUAAUUGAAAACCCCUUAAAUUUUAAUAAAAAGGACACAUAAACUUAAAUUAAUGGUAAAAGACAUAAUUUUAAUAAAAAGGACAAAAAAACUGACACAAGACUCACGGUACACUAUUUAUGAAACUUACUUACACUGUUUAUGAAACUUAUAACACUAUUUAUGAAACUUACGGCACGUUUUGAAAACUUACUAUAAGGAAGCCUCAAGAACCAGUGCAGCAACCAUAUGAGGGACUGCUACGGAUGGUUGUGGCAAAUUCUAUCCCAAUGGAAGAAGAAGGCACAUCGAAGCCCUUCAGACCUCACCAUUUCGAUGGUGGAUGUUCUGUUUGUGUUGCACAUCCUUAGUGGUGUUUGUUAGUGAAUAUACUUACAUUUUGCUGAUGAAUGAUUUCAGGUUUUACAUAGAGCUGAAAGAGGAAAGACGGCUCUCUGCUUGUUCACCUAUGAGACCAGCAUUCAAGAAUCCAAAUGAUGUUGAUUUAAUGCAAAAUGGAAGUCAAUUUACCUUUUUCUUGAUUGCUCCUGUGGCGGCAUUCGACCAAUUAGUUGGCUCUCCUCUUCUGAUACAGUUUGUUCCAAGGACUGCUAUACUUCAUGGCUAUACAUUUUAUUUUUUGUUCCGAUUAAUAGAGGUUUAUAGCAAUGCUAAAAGCCUACUCUCUGUUGCCUUCUCUGAGUGGGAAUUAUUCUUUGUACAACAAAAAGCCUGGAUCAAACUUUCGUUAUGUAUUUUUUAUUUUUUUUCUUCUUGUCCUUAUCAUUAAAUAAGUUAGUAGGUGGUUUUUGGUUUAAACUCAAAGUUUUGAAGCCCUUUUUCAUUAGUUUUCCUUUAUUUUAAUAUUCAUUCAUUAGUGUGAUUUGAUUUUAGAAAGAAAAAAAAACACACAAGAGAACAAUUGGCAUUGUUGAAUUUAUUAUACUCGUCAAUCAAGUUUUAUUGUUCUUGACUCCUUGAUUAUCAAGUUUUAUUGUUCUUCACUCUCAAUCGUAGACUCUUGACUGCAACAUUAGUACAAUUGUGUCUAAAAACGUGAGCCAUGUAAUGUUUAAGUAAUGUUUGUAUAUUUAUCUUUUCUUGAUAUUAAUUUUUAAUGAUAUUUGAUGUGAAAAUAGAAUAUUUUUUUUUUAUACAAAUCAAUAUACAAAGAUCCGGAGAUUAGAGAACUUUAGAGCCCCACUUCAAAGGCUCGCUAGGCCCCAAAUUCUCAGGGCCAACCCUGGUUAUACCUAGUAUUUGUAAUACUUUAAAAGACAAACUUAGAUGGAUCGGUUCUCUUGGCAGACUGCUGACAGUCUGGUAACUUAAGAUUCGUUCAUAAGGUUGAGUUUUGUCUGAAUAUGUGACCUAAGCUCGCAACAUUUGUGUGGGUCGCAUUGUUAGAGCCACUUGAAUUCCAAUGUUCCAAACUGUCUAAUGUUUAUAUCUUCAUUUAAGAACCAUCCUUGUAAAAAGUUGGCAAAUUGGAGAUUGUUUUGAUCAUCUUAUUGUCAACAUAAAUAUUUGGAAAGAUUGUGUUCUUCUCUCUGUUGAUAAUUAAUGACUUUGUAUUAUUGGAUCUUUGAAUAGGCAUUUAACAAAUGGACGGUUCAUAUCUUGGACCGUAUGAUAUUUGAGGUUACAUACAUUUUUGAGAUUUCUAUGAUCCUCUUAAAAAUGCAUCUAUAUGAAUAUAUAGACGUGCUGGAUAUGACACCCAGCUGCUUAACAUAAAUUGCGUCAUUGACUGACUUUGAAUUGAAAAUUAUAGGCUUUUUCCAUUCUUCUUAUUUUGCGUUUUUGUAAUUGUCCUAUCCAACUUAUGAGAUGACUGAAAUCUUGACACUGGCACCAUAUUAAUGAAGGGAUUUUACCACCUGUAAAUGUAGGCAUAAAAACACUUAAAAUACUUGCAAAGACAGGUUAUGUAGUAAGAUCUCAAGAAGGUCGUUUCCACAGGAUUGAAUGAAUAAUUAUGUUAAAACCAAAAUUAAUUAAUUAUUUAAACACAAUUUGGAAAAUGUUAUUUGUGACCUAAAUAUUAAAAACGAAUUUAAUUAAAGUUAAUUAAAUAAAUUGCCAAAGAAAUAAAAACAAAAUUAAAAUAGUUUGAAAAUAAUUUGAGCAUUAUAGAUCUGCAUGACCUUCCCAUCCUAGUACUUAUGAAUUACCCAUGUAUAUUUUUUAUGCGGAAAUUAUCUUAACACACAAAUUUACCCUCUUUUGACAAUUGUAGUAAAGUAUAAGUAGGGAUCGUCUAAACCGGGGAUUAGGAGGGCUUGCUAAUAACCUUAAAUGGACUCAAAAAUAUCAAAUAAACUUUAAACACUUAUCAAGAUCAAAGACUCAAAGCAAACUUAAAAACUCAAACACUUAAAAACAACUAAAAUAACUAAACUAGACACUAGGAAUGACGGAAACAUGACUUUUUACUUGAAUCAAAAACAUUUAAACUAAACUAAAACAGAUUUAAACACUUUGAAAAAGAACUAAAAGGGGGUUUGAUUUGGGAUGAGUUGUAACAAACAAACAAGAUGAAAAUAGACAUUUGUAAAAUAAUUAGAAUAAAUGAUGGAUGGAUAGCUAGAGGCUUUUUCUCCACACAUGACAUGUAUGCAAAUAUUCAUUUUCCUACUACUUCAUUAAUUUGACGACAAUGCUCCAAAUUAACCAUAAUCACUAGUUAACUUUCAGAUUUCCUUGUUUUAUUGAUUGGAUGGAAUCAUUCUACAACCCAAAACAUUCUUCUAAAGUUCCCCCAUGCAUCUAAUAGAGAUACAAUCAAACAUCAUUACGUCUAAUGAAAAUCAUAAGCAUUGACAAGCACUUGCAACUCAUGACAUCAUGUCGCUUAUGCUAGGAAUUGAACUAACGCAAUCGCUUAUAAGCGACCUUCACUACNNNNNNNNNNNNNNNNNNNNNNNNNNNNNNNNNNNNNNNNNNNNNNNNNNNNNNNNNNNNNNNNNNNNNNNNNNNNNNNNNNNNNNNNNNNNNNNNNNNNNNNNNNNNNNNNNNNNNNNNNNNNNNNNNNNNNNNNNNNNNNNNNNNNNNNNNNNNNNNNNNNNNNNNNNNNNNNNNNNNNNNNNNNNNNNNNNNNNNNNNNNNNNNNNNNNNNNNNNNNNNNNNNNNNNNNNNNNNNNNNNNNNNNNNNNNNNNNNNNNNNNNNNNNNNNNNNNNNNNNNNNNNNNNNNNNNNNNNNNNNNNNNNNNNNNNNNNNNNNNNNNNNNNNNNNNNNNNNNNNNNNNNNNNNNNNNNNNNNNNNNNNNNNNNNNNNNNNNNNNNNNNNNNNNNNNNNNNNNNNNNNNNNNNNNNNNNNNNNNNNNNNNNNNNNNNNNNNNNNNNNNNNNNNNNNNNNNNNNNNNNNNNNNNNNNNNNNNNNNNNNNNNNNNNNNNNNNNNNNNNNNNNNNNNNNNNNNNNNNNNNNNNNNNNNNNNNNNNNNNNNNNNNNNNNNNNNNNNNNNNNNNNNNNNNNNNNNNNNNNNNNNNNNNNNNNNNNNNNNNNNNNNNNNNNNNNNNNNNNNNNNNNNNNNNNNNNNNNNNNNNNNNNNNNNNNNNNNNNNNNNNNNNNNNNNNNNNNNNNNNNNNNNNNNNNNNNNNNNNNNNNNNNNNNNNNNNNNNNNNNNNNNNNNNNNNNNNNNNNNNNNNNNNNNNNNNNNNNNNNNNNNNNNNNNNNNNNNNNNNNNNNNNNNNNNNNNNNNNNNNNNNNNNNNNNNNNNNNNNNNNNNNNNNNNNNNNNNNNNNNNNNNNNNNNNNNNNNNNNNNNNNNNNNNNNNNNNNNNNNNNNNNNNNNNNNNNNNNNNNNNNNNNNNNNNNNNNNNNNNNNNNNNNNNNNNNNNNNNNNNNNNNNNNNNNNNNNNNNNNNNNNNNNNNNNNNNNNNNNNNNNNNNNNNNNNNNNNNNNNNNNNNNNNNNNNNNNNNNNNNNNNNNNNNNNNNNNNNNNNNNNNNNNNNNNNNNNNNNNNNNNNNNNNNNNNNNNNNNNNNNNNNNNNNNNNNNNNNNNNNNNNNNNNNNNNNNNNNNNNNNNNNNNNNNNNNNNNNNNNNNNNNNNNNNNNNNNNNNNNNNNNNNNNNNNNNNNNNNNNNNNNNNNNNNNNNNNNNNNNNNNNNNNNNNNNNNNNNNNNNNNNNNNNNNNNNNNNNNNNNNNNNNNNNNNNNNNNNNNNNNNNNNNNNNNNNNNNNNNNNNNNNNNNNNNNNNNNNNNNNNNNNNNNNNNNNNNNNNNNNNNNNNNNNNNNNNNNNNNNNNNNNNNNNNNNNNNNNNNNNNNNNNNNNNNNNNNNNNNNNNNNNNNNNNNNNNNNNNNNNNNNNNNNNNNNNNNNNNNNNNNNNNNNNNNNNNNNNNNNNNNNNNNNNNNNNNNNNNNNNNNNNNNNNNNNNNNNNNNNNNNNNNNNNNNNNNNNNNNNNNNNNNNNNNNNNNNNNNNNNNNNNNNNNNNNACCUUCGACUUGAGCAAUCAAGGCCGUUGAGUGAGCAUAGCUCCCAACCGUCGGAUGGAAAAGUGAAGAUAAUUUUGUUAAAAAAUAAUAUUAUGGUUUUUAUCAUAAUAAUUAUUCUUUUAAUAUGAAUUAUCUUGGCAUAUUCUUAAGCAGAUAAAUAAGGUGCGAAUUAUAUCCCUAAGCAAGCGGUACAGUUCAAAUUAAGUUGGGAUUUGUGUGGACGUAUGGAUUGGAUAUGUUGCAAGCUAAUAUUAAAAGGGGAUCAGGAUGUAUGCACAGAUGGAUUAUGAAGAAGCCUAGAUAGGCUUGGCUUUUGGUAGUGAUGUGACAAGUCUAAGAUAUAAUAGUCAUGGAUAAUGAUGGCAUAGGGAACAUAAGCAGGCUGGACCUUUUUCUAUGGUGUUUUGGUGGUCAGAUAAAGCAUGGCUACCAAUGGUUUUUCUUUUAUGAAGAAAUAAGAAACCUAGGUGGGCUAGAAAUGUGAUGUAAUAAGCCUAGAUGGACUUUUAUUAAGUUUGAAAAGUCUUGGAACAAAUUUCACGGCUCAAUUUGAAGGAUAUACCCUGGUUUUUGGCUUUUGACGCGGAUCAACUUCAGGAAUUAGAAUUGCAAUUAAACUCUGCAACAUUAUCUAACCGUGCAAGCCUAGUACUUCAGUCCUAUAAAUAUAGAUGCAAUGGCAACGAGAAGAGGACCUUCAAUUCAACACACAACUGCCCUGCACAAAUUCUCUCAACAACCUUGAGACUUUUUCCUUUUCUUUUUUCGCCGACACACCUUCAGUUUGGAUAAACAGCACUGUGAAGGUAAUCGGUGAUAUCUUCAGUCAACAUAGAUAGCACUAUCACCGUAGAACUAGCCAGUCUCAUAGCAUCUUCAGUCAGCAUAGAUAGCACUGCAUCGAGGAUGACUGGUUAUCUAUCCAAGUCUCGGUCGAGAAGGAUUUUCAAAUCCUUAUUGGCAAAGGUCAUCUCAUUAGCCUUUUCGACGAAGUAAGGUGUUACAAAGUACUACAUUCGGCACAUUGAAAGCUGAAUUUGAUAUUGAACUUCGCAGAACUAGCAGCCUUGUCUUCAGGCUCUAGAACCCGAAGGCCGAGAGUGUUCCUUCCUCGGCCGCAGUCGCGAGAUUUAGAAGUCAGGAGCGCACCCAACUCAACAUCAACAAAUUUUACUCCUCGGCUGAGCUCGGCCGACGAGUUGGCAUGCCCCGCACACAUCCGAAUGACGUAGUUAGCUCAUAGAUUACUCGGCCUGCGCGCCACGUAGGCUUGGUAGUUUUUAGGAUCAACAUUUUGGCACGCCCAGUGGGACCCAAUGCUAAUACUACGAAGUUCAUAUGAUAUAUCAAGAUUCCAAUCUGGCUCAACGUAGCCGAUUGUACGAGCUCUUAGAGGAAUUGAAAAAACACAAUGGGGAAUGUAAAAGAUCUUUGGAAGUGGAAAAAGUUCUUCGUGGCGUAAGAGCCAAGAAAAAAUCAUUCGCCUCCAUGUUCAUAAUAGAAGCUCCUGUUACCCUACAAGAGCAAUGGAUAAACGAAGACAGGGCUCGAUUUAAUGCCUGGCUAUCAAGAGAACAUUUUCCUUACGUUUUUUACUACCAAUCAAUUCCAUUUAAAUAAUGGUUGGUUGAAAAGAAUAGGGGUCAAUUUUUCGCUCCGGCCACAACCAACAUUCGGCCUAAGAAAAUUGUCAAGACGGCCGAAGAAAAACCUAGGCCACUUGUUGUUUCGGUCGAGACUGAAAGUAUGGUAGGCCUAGAACAAAAAAUUCAACUCCCUGAGCUAGAUACAAAAAUUGACUUGGAAAAUGAUUCGUCAAAGGAAUGCUCCAAUGACAAACGAGGCCGAGAUAUUGGCCAAGCCCAAGAAACUACGCCAAUUGAUAUGAUUAUUUGCGAAAAAGCCGAUAUGGAGAAAUCCUGUUCGGCCAAGUUGUUCGAAUUAAAAGUCGAAAUUAUGCAUGGGGGCAUAAUAAUUGUUCCACACAUUCGGUGGCCGAAAAUGCAAAAUAUUUUGCCGAGUCAAAAAUAUUUGGGAAAAAUUCUUUAUUCGGCCCAGAGCGAAAUCAAUUUGAAAACUUUGAUGCAAAAAGAUCUCGGCUUGGAAUAAAGCAUCGUUGGCCUCCUCCUCUUUAUUAGUUCGGCCACUUUCAUUUUUCUUUUGUUAAAAAAAAAAAUGACAUUUGAGGCCGGCUUUGGAGUCUUGGUGGUAGAAAUUUGGUAAUUCGGCUGACAAAUCCCUACGCUCGGCCAACCAUUGGGCCGAAGUUGAGGAAACAUUAGGCUGAAGUCGAGGAAGCAUUAGGCCGAAGUCGACAAGGUGGGCCGAAGGUACAAAAGUGGAAUGAAAGACGUGAUGGAGAUGUGCAUGGCAGCAUGGCAGACGGCAUCAUGUCAGAAUUUGGGUUUAUGGCUAUAUAUAUAUAUAUAUAUAGUUUACAUCAAGAUGUCACUAUCAAGAAGAAAGGAAAAACGUAUGGUGGUAGGUGGGGUAUUUUAUAUAUAUGUCAGGAUGUUCUUACCAAAGUUUAAAGGCUAUAAAUCUUAAGUGUUAGUCUUAUAUGGUGCCACUACCGAGAAGAAAAGGGGGGACUACCAAAAAUAAAAAAUACAAAUGGCAUAGAUAUAUAUGUGCCAAGCUCGAUCCCAUUACUUUUCUACCUAUAUCACACAUGCCGAGCUCGACGAUUGGUACUCGGCACAGGUUCAUUUUAUAAAUGUUUGCUCGGCCAGGAUACCGUUUAUAUAUGUAUAUGCCAGCUGCAUGGUUGGCAGGUCACAUCAGACAAUCAUGCUACUUUUAUAGAUUUGUAUUUAGAAGCAGGCCGAGUAUCAGGAAUGGGUUUCAUCAAUCUCGGCCCUAGUUCUUAUCGGCCUUAUUAUACCCUCGACCUCGACCUAUCAGAUGUUAAAGUAGAAUGCAUGCAUAUGCAUGGAAGAAGCAAACGGUGAAUUAGCAGAAGGAGAUCACGACGUUGGCAAAUUUUCUGGGAAAAUAUCAAGUAUAUAAAUAUAUACUGAAAAUCAAAAGCCCACUCACUGGUAUGUCGAAGGAUCGUAGUCCCCGAGUCGCUCUUGAACGUGCUUGUCCUCGGGAUAAGUCUCACCUAUAUGCGAAUUAACUAUAAAAACGUUAUUUAAAGCACAUAGAAAAAACUAGCUAAUAAUUUCUCAUACAAUGCUCAAAUGGGGUGUUUGAAUAUACCAAUGUGAUUUACACAACUCCACGAACAUCCCCAUAUUUUUAGAAAAAUUUUCCGACCACCCACGCGCCGGCCAAGGCACAGCCAGACGUGCCGCCCAUGCGCGAGCACAUGCCUGGCACACCAGCGGCAACAGUGACGCCGAAAUAUUUCGUUAAAUAGUAACGAAAUCCGUUAAAGUUAACUAACGCCGUUGGAAUAUUCGUCAAGUUGACGGAAUAUUCCGUCAUCCCUAACCUCGAACCUCUAGCGACUGUCACCAGCACCGAAAACUGGGUAAAACUUAAAACCUUGAUAUCUUGGUCGAUUCUCAUCCAAAUUUCAUGAAAUUAGUGUCAAAUUAAAGCUCUCAACUGGUAGAACAUCCCCAUACCUGAUUUAAGACCUAAAUCUCACGGAAUCUUGUUGGAGAAUUUCGAGAAAAACCGGCCAAGGUUGAAACUGACAAUCCCAACGUCCAAAUCGCUUGGUUUUCUUCUCCGAGCUUCGUAGGGAUGUUUUAAAGCUUCCUACAAGCUUCAAAUCACCUUCUUAACGUUGAUCUAUGCAUGAAAUGCUUGGUUCCAAGCUCGUCCGUACGGUUUGUACGGAAAAUAGAAGGAAAUCGCGAGGGAAAAGAGAGAUAGCACGGGAAAGAGAGAGAAAGUGUGUAUGUGUGUGUCACACGUGGUCGUCAUCCAUAACAAAAAAAAAUACAUUUAACUCCCAAAGCAUGACACACACACACCCUACAAUCUAAACGUCCAAGGAUAAAACUGUCAUUUCACAUCGUCAAAAUUAAAUAUUCGGGAUGGGCUGUGACAUAUCGCCCCAUCACAACCCCUUUACAAACUUCAACAACUAAUUCUUAUGCCUCUACUUAGUAAAAAGGCUAGGAACAAAAAGAACACUUACCGAGCUACUGGCUUUUGUCCUAUCUCACUUUUUGAGUCCCCAAAUCCAGCAUUCACCUUGGUAAAAUGCAAAACAAAAAACGAUACAGGAAAUUAGGUAGAUUGGUCAACGCAAACUAAAGCUCCAAGAGAGAGCAAGCAAUCAUACCUCAACUAACCCAGCAUCAAUGACUUCGAUCGACACAAAGGUCCGGGUCUGAUCAACGUUAACAAAAAAUUCCCAACUGCUAAAAUCAAUCCAAUACUUGUUUCACAAUUACAAAAUAUGUUCAAAACCAAAAUGGACAAAAAAGCAAAGAAGAAGCAUUCAAGAGAUUAAGGCAUUCAAAUAAUUACACAAAGUGGACAGAGAUCAGUAAAAAGUUGGGGAGGGAAGUGAUAAUCUCUGCAGUGGUUGCUCGGUAAUAAACAAUUAAUGACACUGUAAAAUUACCUUUCAAUUUGGAAAUUUUUUUUUUUAUCAAACGAUUAAUUUUGUUAAAUUAGGUGUUAGAUUAGCCACCGGCGGGGUUUGAAUUCACAUCGUCAUACAAUGACUCAACACCUUUCUAUCACUGCCGUAAAUGACCACUUGCAAUUUAAUGGGAUAAACGUUAAGUUUAUCAAUUAUAUUUGCAUGAUAUAAGCUGAGAAUAAAUUUAAUCAUAUUCAUUACCCAAUCUCGAAAAUAGGAAAACUAAUGAAAAGUGUUUGAAAACUUCGAGUUUUAACGAUAAGGACAAAAUAAAGGGUAAAGUGAAUAGUAUCAGUAUUGAUUUUUUAGUGUAAAAUGUGGUUUUUCGUUAAAGUGGACAGUACCGAGAGCUUUUUGUUAAAGUUCCCAAUUUAAAUUGUAAACAUACAAAAGAUAUACUUACAUGUUAUAUUCCUGUGUCUUCAUUAAAAAAACAUUAUAUUCCUGUCUUUGGUAAGUGCCUUGUAGACAAUCACACAUUUUUUUUCUCUUAUUUUGGAACAAGUAUAUUGUCUGCAAUUUGUUAAAAUAAAUAAAAUAAUAAAAAAUUAGAACAAUUCCCUUGAACCAUGAACGUUUAAUGUGGAGAAAUUGAAAGUUGAAAUAAGUGGAAAACACAGAGGAGAAGAUUCAACGAAUAUUGUGAUCAAAAUCAGAACUCAGUGAGAGUUCAACAGAAAGAUCAAUGGAAAAUGCAUUCACACACUAACACGCCCAACUCCGGAAUCCUCCAAACACCAGAAUGGGCACGUGUUGGCCAACACCCGAGAGUGAUGAAGCCAUAUUAACAUGCAUGUUAUGAAGAAAAAACGAACGUAAAUAUAACUUUAAUGAAUAUGUAUUUGUGAGAAUGUGUUCAUAGCAUACAAGUAAUCAAGAAUAUUGUAGAAGGAAUAUUAUGAAAAGGUACGAACAAAGGAAUGGGUCCUACUGUCACGCCCCAAACCCAAGGUCGGAAAUAAAAACUCAAACCGGAAUUUGAAACAUGAGUUGAAAGCUCAAUAAAUAAAAGGAAAUUCAAACGGGUUGGAAAAUAAAUUUUUUCUUAUAAAAUAACUUGUUGAUGCACAAAAUCAAUGAGGACUUUGGUACAACAGAAAGUGUUAAGUUUGUGACCUUCGCUAGAUUGUUCUGAUCACUAGUGUGGAUAAGUAUGUAAAUGGAUAGAGACAGGGAAGCAAACACAAGAUGUACGUGGUUCACCCAGAUCGGUUAUGUCAACGGAGUAGAGGAGUUCUUAUUAAUUGUGAAGGGUUUACACAAGUACAUAGGUUCAAGCUCUCCUUUAUUGAGUACAAGUGAAUGAUUUUGUACAAAUGACAUUAGCCAAUAUUGUGAGAGAAUGAUCUCUAUUUAUAAAAGAGAGUUUCUAGUUUCAUUCUGACAUUGACACGUGUCGUGUUGUGAUUGGCUUCUGAUGUUAACACAUGUCGUGUUAUGAUUGGCUUCUGAUGUCGACACGUGUCGCACUGUGAUUGGCCUCCUGGUUGGAGGGAAACUCUUCUGGGUCCUUGAUGGUAUAACGUUGACCGGUGCUCAGUAGUUUUAGGAUUGGUCAAGUAUGGUACAAGCAGUGCUCCCCUAAGUUCCCGAGUAAGGGAAGCUCCUCGGUUGGGGACUUGCAAGAUCCAAGCCAUUGAGUAAUCACGAAACUUCUAAGUACCGAAGUGUGGUAUCAUUUUCACUUGCCUUAUCUGUCUCAUAUGUAGAUGUGGCAUCUUCUCUGGAAGUACUUUUCCUCUACCUAGGGGUGGUAUCUUUAACCGAUGAAGAUGCACAAGGUAAUGUAUGAAUUUCACUUAAAGCUUACUUGUAGUUUCAGGCUUGGUCAAGUGCGAUACAAACCCUAUAGUAGGAGUCCCCCAAGUCGCCGAGCUAGGAGAUUUGCCGAAGGAGGUAACAGACAAGGUAAGAAAUCAUACUUCCAAGCAAGCAACCUAGAUCAGAGGUUCGACUUCGGCUUCUGGUUGAUUGUUCACCUUCUUCUUGUGUCGUAAAUAGCACCAAGGAUAAGGAAAAGCAAAUGGAAGAGAUGAUAUGAGAUACUUUUGCUUUUGAAGAAGUAACUUUCCACAGGCUUAUUCUUGAACUAGACUGGAGGGUUUUUUGGUUUACUCAAGAGUAUAAGGCCGACUCAAGAAUUUGUCGGUCAAAACAAGUCCAUCAAAUCUAGAGUAUGUUCGACCCUGAUGAUAUGGGAUAUUUUUGCUGUUGACAAAGUAGUGGAUGUAUCGACACGUGUUCUGUUACGCUAGUCUCCACAUGCUUCCUUGUAUCCUUCUCACUUGCCCUAUCUGUUCCUUAGGCAGAUGUGGUAUCUUCUCUGGAAGCAUAAGAUGUUGAAGAUAAGUACUCGAGAGCAAUGCUAGGUAAGUAAUCAGGCAAGGGGUUCUAGGCAGUCAGUUCCUGACUGGAAGCUUGAUUCCAAGUGCUGACUGAUUGCUUUCUUUCUCCUUGUUUUGCAGGUAAGAACAAGGCCAAAGGAAAAGACAGGGAAAAAGUAUGAUAUGGGAUACUCUUGCUUUUAACCCUGAUGAUAUGAGAUACUCUUGCUCUGGUGUGGCUUGUUUGCAGAGGUAUUAUUGGGAAGAAAAGAAGCUGAGUAUUUUAAGAGACUCGGCUGAGAGUGCCCUCUUGGAUGUGAAGAAAAGUUGAGCUUAUUUGUAGGUUUGCUUGGCUGUGGAUGAUGGAGGUCGACAUAUAUAGGAGUCUCCUUAACAAAAAGUAGUAGUGCUAUUCCUUUACCCUUCUUGGUCAUAGCAAUGUAGUGGGAGUUGCAAGCUUCACGUGUUUUAACUUUGUCGGAGCACUUUGAAAAAGUGGUUUGUGAUAUCUGGAAAGCUGAUGUUGCGUGUGAAGAUUGCAGAUAAGCUUUAUCCAAGGAAAUCUGGCUCUCAAAGUUCAGAGAGCAGUGCCUCUUCGGUUUUUGAGAAAGCAAUCUUGUUGAGAGUCUGGCUCUCGAGAUUCGGAGAGUAGUGUCUCUUCAAUUUUUUAGAAAGUAAUCCUGUUAGGAAUCUGGCUCUCGAGAUUCAGAGGGUGGUGCCUCUUAAAUUUUUGAGCAUGUAAUCCUGUUGGGAGUCUGGCUCUCGAGAUUCGGAGAGUGGUGCCUCUUUGAUUUUUUAGAAAGCAAUCCUGUUAGGAGUCUGACACUUGAGAUUCGGAGAGCAGUGUCUCUUCAAUUGUUUAGAAAGUAAUCCUGUUAGGAGUCUGGCUCUCGAGAUUCAGAGGGUGGUGCCUCUUCAAUUUUUUAGCAUGUAAUCCUGUUGGGAGUCUGGCUCUCGAGAUUCGAAGAGUGGUGCCUCUUUGAUUUUUUAGAAAGCAAUCCUGUUGGGAGUCUGACACUUGAGAUUCGGAGAGCAGUGUCUCUUCGAUUUUUGAGAAAGUAAUCCUGUUGAGAGUCUGGCUCUCGAGAUUUAGAGAGUGGUGCCCCUUCGAUUUUUGAGCAAGCAAUCUUGUUGGGAGUGUUUUCUCGAAUGUGAGUAAAGGUUGGGCAUUUUUGCUAGUCUGCCUUGCCACGGAGCACGAAGGUUGACACACAUUGGGACUUCAAAAUUUAUGGGUUUAAACUUUGUCAGAGAUCUUUGGCAAAGUUAUCUGUGGUACCCGAGAAGCUGAUGUUGCGUGUGGAAAGUGGUGCCUCUUCGAUUUUUGAACCAACGGCCAUGUUGCCAUUUCUUUUAUAAGGGCACCAAUUAUGUGCAAGAAGUACAUUCAGAGAGUUAUUGCUUGUAGGAAUUUUCCCCUUACUUCAGAGAUUUAUUGCACCUCAUUUCUCCUUCAUCAUUUCUGAGAAUGUUUGGCCCAUUCGACUGUCGUUUUGACUUGAACUUUGGUUAAGAAGCAGCCAUGCCUUCUCAAGACAACAUAUAGCGCCCAUCCUUCUUAUCCCUUACUGGUCCUCUUACCGUUGGGGACUUUGUGAUGAAGAAUGAUAUGACCGCUGCGGUGGUGGCCAGGAACCUUCUCACUCCCAAAGAUAACAUACUACUUUCCAAACGGUUUGAUGAGUUGUUUGUUAAGGAUUCUCUGGUUCUUAGUGUUCAGUGUGCAGGUUCUGUGUCUAAUAUGGCCCAACGCCUAUUUGCUCGAACCCGCCAAGUUGACUCAUUGGCGGCUGAAGUGAUAAGUCUCAAACAGGAGAUCAGAGGGCUCAAGCAUGAGAAUAAACAGUUGCACAGGCUUGCACAUGACUAUGCUACAAACAUGACGAGGAAGCUUAACCAGCUCCAGAAAUCUGAUGGUCAGAUUUUGCUUGAUCAUGAAAGGUUUGUGGGUUUGUUCCAAAGGCAUUUAUUGCCUUCAUCUUCUGGGGCUGUACCGCGUAAUGAAGCUCCGAAUGAUCAACCUUUGGUGCCUCCUCCUUCUGGGGUUCUGCCCAGUACUGAGGCUCCAAAUGAUCACCCUCCGAUGCCCACUCCGAAUGAAGUUCCUUACAACUGGCACCUCUUCUGGACGUAAAGAAGGCUCAUCCUUCACAACUACGUGGGCUAAAAACCCCACACAACCCUUAUUCAACAACCUAGUUGCUCGAAUGGCAGAAAUAAUACUAUUGGGGAGGACACAUCGCUCACCCAUAAAUGUAACUGAUAGAAGUCCUGGCUGAUUGAACGUCACAAUUUUCUCCCAACAUGCGACAUUCGCUCGGUGCUUAGAUAGCCAAUCCAUUCCUAGAAUGACAUCAAACUCCCCCAGUUUGAAAGGAAUUACAUCAAUCUCUAAGUUUUCCCCUUCAAAAAUAACUGGACAAUUCUGAUAUUGCCAUUAAGCACAAAAUAAUUCACCACUUGGCAUUUGAACCAGCAUAUCAAAACCUAGUGGUUGAGAAGGUAUAACCCGAGCAAAAGAUGAAGAAACAAAAAACUAUGUAGCACUGGAAUCAAUUAAAACUUUAGCCCAAGUAUUACAGACAGGUAACGUACCAGUGAUAACUCGAUGAUCCUAAUCAGCGUCCUGUUGAGUCAUGGCGUUCAUACGUCCAUGACCUCUGGAACCACGUCUUGCUCUGUUCCCCUGAUUACUGUUACCAGAAGAUGUUCCAGCCUGCUGUUGGGUCGAAAACUGAGCACUCUGGCUGUCAUUUCCUCUAAAACCCUGGCUACCUCUGCCACCAAACUGCAAACCUCUAUUACUCUUGUAGUUCCGAUUAGUACUGCUACCAUAACUCCAACUACUACUGCCACUGCCAUCAUAGCUUUGUCGGGCGCCAAAAUUCUGAACUGGCUGAUAUCCACUAUAGCUUGAGCCAGAGGUAAAAUCACCAGGUGGUGCUGCUGAAGGACAAUCACAAACAAAAUGCCCGGUGCCACCGCACUUGUGACAAACUACAGCAGUUAUCCCACAACUCCCUCGAUGACGUAACCCACAUUGAUUACAGACUAGAUAACUUGGAGUGAAAUGACCGAAAGAUCGUCUCGCCGACUCGUUGCCUGAGCUUCACUGGAUGACCUUGAACUCCGACCUGGUCGUUUAAAUGAAACAAAGUGUCUGGGACCUACAGAACUGGAAGGGCCUGCUGAUUCUUUGGUACUCCGUGACCGAAAAUUCCAACUCCUCUUAUUCUAAUUCCUUUGUCUAAUCUGUCUCUAAGCUGGAUCCAAGUCUGAGGUUGAUCCUGUAUCUCUGUAUCCCACUUAGACUUAUCUCGAUUACUUCUUCAUAAGUUCUAGGUCUCUGAGUAGCUACCAGCGUACAGUACUCUUGGUUCAGUGCAAGCAUCGCAUGAUCCAUCUGUGCUUGUGGAUUAUCAUAAGUCCCAUCAUGAUGCCUAGCCAAGCGCCUGAAAGUACUGUCAAAUUUUGUGAUGUUGAGGUCACCCUAUCGGAACUCUACAUACUCCUGCCUCUUCCUCAAUCUGUAACUAGGGCUUAGAAAGUAAGUAAUAAAACGUUUCCUGAAGGCAGCCAAUGUCAUCCAAGAACCAGGUGGACGAGAUUCCUUCGUUGAUUUCCACCAACUUCUAGCAUCACCCUGAAUGAAGAAACCUACAGUGUUUGCCCACUCAUUUAGUGGACAUUUCAUAGCCUCUAAAGUAUACUCCAUUUUCUCUAACCACUGCUUAGCCUCCUCACAAUUUCCCACAGAUUUCAACUCAGUAACUCCAUGACUUCUAGCGAUUUCUAAAUACAUCUGAUUCGGCUUAUGACCUGGAAGAGCAUUCAUUAACGCAAAGGUAAAUUGCUGGAUUCCCCCCAUUAUAGAAGAACGAGGUCGUCGAGGCACAUUCCCACAAGGAUUAGCCAUGAUUCUGACAAAGGCAACAAGAUUUAGAAAGGCUGAAAUUUGCCAAAUUGGUGGAAAGAAACCCUAACCAUGCUUUGAUACCAAUCUGACACGUCUCGACCCCGAUAUUCCUUGAAUACCCGGAUAGGCACGUGUUGGCGGACACCCUAGGGUGACAAAAGCCAUUUAUUGACAACAAGAGUAAUGAUUAGGAGGAAAUAAGCAUGAAUAAUCAUUAGAAUCUAAAAGUAAUAAACAAAGUUUAAGGAAAUGUCUAGAGUGCACAGAAUACGUUCUAAUUGAAGAUCACAUAGGAAAUAUCAUUACAAGAUAUCACACAAGUGAGUGAUAGAUUGCUACUGGUAGGGGAAUGAAUGUAAGAUCCCACAUCGCCCAGGGGAUUGGAUCCUGUAAGCCUUAUAUGUAUAUUCCCAUCUCUACCUAGCAUGAGGCCUUUUAGGAGUUCACUAGCUUUGGGUUCCAUCGGAACUCCGAAGUUAAACAAGUUCGCACGAGAGAAAUCCCAUGAUGGGUGACCCACUGGGAAGUUAUCGUGUGAGUUCCCAGAAACAAAACCGUGAGGGCGUGAUCGUGUUGGAAGUAUGCCCACAAAGCCACUCAUUUGAUGUAAUAGCUUUUUGGAAUACUUAAUGUAUUAAACUUUUAUAUGUUUAAUGGAGGGCAAAGCUUAUUGUUAAUCACUAUUUAUUGUAUCAUGUGUUUAAGCAAUAAGGGAAUCCAAGGGAUGUAUUUGUUCUAAGAGAAAAGUGAUCUAAGUGAGUCAGAUUAUCGAGACCAUUCUCUUAUGUUCAUUCCUAAAACGUUCCUAGCCAUAGGAUUGCCAAUUGGGCAUUGACAAUCCGCUAAGGUUAGUAUGUGUUAUGUUGACUCAAGCGUGAGUAUGACUAGUCUCAAGUCAUUUGGUGUUGGACACUAAGACAAACACAUAGGUGCUCGAAAGAGUAAUCGAGUACACUGAACUACGAUCAAAAGAGAGUUCGAACAUACAUGUCGUGUAUGAACUCUAAAGUUGCAAUAUGCAAAGUAGUCCUUUGACCUGAGGCAUCAUAGAUGUCUAAUGGUUAGGUUCUUGAUCUUUAAUCAUGUCAACGGCAUUCCCUCGGAAUGUCCACGGCAUUGUUGGGGUCAAGCUAUCUAGUAAUGUAGGCAUAUGAAUGCACAACAAGGGAUCUCUAACCUUCCAUGGUGGAAGGAGAAUACUCUAAGAUAUGAUUCUAAAGUCUUUGGCCAAAGCAAAUGAAUAUGACUUAGGAAGUUUGUUCCAAAUCAUAUUCAAGGGAAUCAUAUAGGAAAGUAUCACAUUGGAUAGUAGACAUGAAACAAACUAUCACUUAAACAAUGUGAUUAAGAGUAUUGUAUUAGAGAAGGACCGUAUUGCAUUGUAAUUGUAACUGGAUAGGUUCUCCAACCAAUUCUACUUAGCUUGGGUAACCAUGAUAUGCUGCUAGGCGUCACUCAUGGUUUGUGGAAGCCCUAAUGGUUAGCAAACACUAAUCAAUAAAGGGAGAAUUGAAAUGUGGUUUCAAUUCACAAUCGAUCGUUAAGAGUAACAAUCGCCCACUGCCUCGUUAAUUGGAACCUAAUGGAUCGUACACCGAGUAAGGAUGUAUGUGAAGAAAUCAAAUGAAAUGGAUAAGCAAUUAAAUGGUUUAAUUGAAGAAUGGUCAAGAUUAAUUAAUUAGUUAAUUAAUUUUACGAAAGGUUCGUGUUGGGCUUAUAUGUUGGUUUUGGGUUUCGGGGCCCAAAAGCGUUUUGGUCCAAAAGGCCCAUUAAGUUUAAGUUGUAUGACAACUAAAACAAAAUGGGCAAAUAGCCCAAUAACAUCAAAGAGGCCGGCCAUUAGGGUGGAUGGGCAAACUUGGAUUAAUUACAAGUUUGCCACUCACUUGUAAUGAAGUAUAAAUUCAACUUUAUAGCUUUAUUUUCAAAAAAAGGGUUUUCUUGAUGAAAUUGGGUGAAACAUUUUCUCUCUUUUUCUUCCAUGAGGCCGGCCACUAAGGGGAGGGACAUCUAGCAAUCUCUUCUUCCCUAAGUCAUCCAUAUCAUCUUCACAAGAUACAUCCUUGGUGAAGAGACUUAGAGACAUCAAACUUUUGGUGUUUUGGAGAACAUAUCCUCAUUUCCUCAAAUCUUCAAAGGAGCACUAAAGGGAGGAAAACACAAGGAGGAUUCAAGGAGCUUGGAGGUGACUUGAAGGCCCUCCACUUGGGUGAAUCCCUUGUGGAAACAAGGAUGAGCUUCAAGGGUAAAGAAACUCUAAAUCUUUACUUAUCUUUAAUGUUGUUAAAGAGUUUAUUGGUUCACCAUAUACUAGGCUUUGAAAGUCAUGGGUUUUAUGAAUUGUUUUUUAAUGCAUGUCUACUUUAAAGUGUUAAUAGCUUGCAUAUGUAUUCAAAUGUUCAUACUUGUUCUUAGCUAGGACAAAAUUUUUCCUUCAAGUGGUAUCAGAGCCUAGGCCUAGUUUAUGGUGAAUCCUUUUGGGUUUUGUGACUUUCAUAUUUUGUGAUUUAAAUGUUGUAAAUGUUACAAGCUUUGUUCUUGCUUUUGAAUAUAUAAAUUUUGCUAGAAAAUUUAGCAUCUCAAAUGUUGUAGAUGUAUUUCAUUUAAGCAUGAAUAUUGGAACUAAAAUUUGGUGCCAUGUAUUUUGGGAAAUUCGGCCAAAUCCAAAGGGUGAUUUUUUGGGUUCAUGUUUGUCUUGUUAAAUGGUUUUAAAGUGACUUUUGGAACCCCUAAGUACCCUAGGAUGUUAGCCCUCUUUUGAGUGGUGAAAAAUUGAGUUUUGGUAAGUGAAAAACAUUCAUGGAGCUAUUAUGAGUUUUCAUGGUGUUCUUCAAUGUUCUUGAAGUUCUUGCCAAGAACAUAAAGUUUUGAAGUUUUGAUUCAAAAGUUUUAUGUUUUUCAUAAAGUUUUGGUUUAUUAUUUGAUGGUUGAUGGUUAUAGGUGAGAUGUGAUGAAAUGUUUUAAUGUUUGUCAUAGAUUUUAAUUUUUUCUUACAAUGUCACAGCCCGUCCCGGAGAUACAUUUGACGGGAAUGUGAAAUGACGGAUUUACCCUUAGUGGGUAUUAAGGUACGUGGGUGUGACGUUAUUUGGAUUAAUUUUAUAAGUUGGAUUAAAUUUAUUAGUUUGUAAAUAUUGUGAUUAGGGAUUAAAUGGAUGGUGAGGAUUGGUUUUGGUUGGGCCACGCAGGACCUCUCUCCUUCUCUCCUCCCCCGUGCCUCUCUGUCCCUCUCUCUCCUCCAUCUCGACUCACUCUCUCUCUCACCCUCAAACGUAUGGACCACACUCACAAACCUUCCAAAUGUCACGGAUCGAAGCUAUUAAGGUAUGGUUCUUCAUCCUUUUGACGUUCUGAGUUGAAUGGUACUAGUUUUAGGAAGUGAAACCCUCGAAAUCACGUGAAACCCGAAUCUCCAUUUUUGGUCACUGUUCAUGCACUCGUAAUAUGUUGUGUUUCAGGGAAUUCUAAGCUUAUAGUGAGCUUAGUGAGGUCCCAAGGAAGCUAGGAGUGCUUCGUUGGAAGGAUUUGGACGUCGGGAUCACAAGGGUUAAGUUUGGCCGGUUUUGCUCGGAUUUUUCCGGUGAGAUUUAGUUGUUUUUGAAGCUUAAAAGUAGUAUAUUGUGAUUCCUCAUGUUGAGGGCUUCAAAUUGAUAUAUUACGAAGAAAAUGGUUUAGAAAUGAAGGAGAACGAAGCAUUUGAAAAUUUCCCAGUUUUCCGGCCACCGGAAAAACCAGUCCGGCAAGCUCGCGAGGAAGAAGGUGCGCGUGGGCGCGCGUGGACCCGUGCUUUCCCUGGCGCGUGGGGGCGCGUGACACAUCAAAAAAUUAUUUUAAAAAUUUGUCAACGUCCGUGACGUCGAGUAGGUCAAUGUGGUAUAUUCAUAUACCCAAUUUGAGCACCGUAUGAGAAGUUAUUAAGAAUUGUUGGUUAGGUGCUUUAAAUAACGUUUUAUAGUUUUCGCAUUUAGGUGAAAAUGUGAAUUGACGAUCCGACCGUUGGAUCGUCACCAAACUUUGAUGCAUUCUAAUACGUAAUAUUUGAGGAUUAUAGGAAUUUACGGAUUGGGAAUCCGAUUUGCGGAUCUUUCGGAAUUGGAGUUGUAAGUCCAUAAUAUAGAAUGUUAACCGUCACUUAGUUUUGUUAAUUGACGGAGAUCCGACCGUUGGAUGGUAAUGAAAUUUUAGGAUGUUGUCCUAGAGAUAUAUUGUGGACCUCUGGAAGUUAUGGAUUUAAAAUCUGAGUGGCAGAUCUUCCGGAUCGAACUUCGUAGUGACGUAUUUUAUAUAAGUUAUAUAUUCUAUCGAUAUGAAUUCUAAGGUUGGAUUUGAUUAUUGUUUUAGGCGCCGAUCGUCAUGACGCCUUGGCGUAUUGUGCUAGGGAGUUGUAGGGCGAACUCCAGGUGAGUGGGCAGUAAUUUCUGUUUAUACCUAUAUACUAUUGAAAUUCCCAAAAAUUGAGUUUUAAUGAAAGUAUGUUUCUAAAAUGCCAUGCAUGCAUGAUAUGAAUGAUAUGAGUUAUAUGAAUUGAUAAUUGAUGCAUAUAUAUAUAUGUGAAUUGACGCGGUGGACGCACAGGUGAGUUUUAUUAUUAUUCAGAUGAAUUAUUUUAUAUGAAUUGCAUUGAAAGCUCAUAACCUGCCCCUAGGUGUUAGUGCUUAUAUUAUUAUUCACCACACCGCACGCUCGUCUUGGAUCCAAGUAGGUGGAUGUCGUACAGACCAUGUGAGGGUUCCGACAUGCUAGUCGUACAUAUCACUAGUUGUGAUUCCGACUAGUGGGUGACCUUAGUUAUGCGCGCUGAUGAUUGAUGAGAGAAGCACUAGAGCGUAUUUAUACACCUGUCAUCGUACAGACUACUAUAUGUAGUUCCGAGUGACGUGCAGAGUUGGACCGUACAGGUCACCGAGGUGACUCCGGUUGGAUUGGAUGUUGAGCUUUAGAAUCAGCCGUACAGGACCACUUCAGGGUCUCCGGUUGAUUUAUUUUCACCUGAUUUAUAUUAAUGCAUCUAUAUUAUGUUUUUGGACACUUGGCAUGGCAUAUUUUUCUGAAAAGUGUUAAAGGAUAGUGAUUUGAGAUAUUUGCUUAUAUAUAUGUUUAUAUAUAUGCUAUUUUCUGGGAAAGUAUAGGUUUUACAGCGAGGGGUUAGAAAUGUUUUAAAUGAAAGAUUUUCGAAAAGCUUUGUUUUGCUGACCCACUCAAUUUUGUUUUGCGCCCCUCCAGGUUCAAGUUAGCAGAGCUUUGGUGGCCACGAGGAACCCAACAGCAUUCUGACAGAAUUCACAAAAGUAUGACUCACCCUCGGGGGUUUCCAUUUUAGUAAUUGUAUUUUAAAAGCUUCCGAACUGUGUAAAUGGUUACGUCACUCUCACGUGACAGCCAGCACGCCCUCCUUCAGGACGGGGUGUGUCAGUUGGUAUCAGAGCCUAGGUUGCAAUUCUGGACAUCUUGAGAAAUUCUUAGUGUCUUCUGUCAGAACGAUACCGCCUCGUAGCGAGCCACGUAGUUCGGAUGAACCUAAUUUCCCUGAUAUAGUAGUUUGGGGGGAAAUUAUUGCCAUUAUGAUUCAGUCUAUUAUCUAAAGGAACCUUUGAGACUGGUUAUAAAUUAAAUUUGAAUCCCUUUAGGGAUAUGAAGGACCUAAGGGAGCAGAUUGAUGACUUAAUCAUUUGAGAAAAGGCGUUUCGGAUUAUGCAAAGUUAAGGGAAUCUUCCUCCCGACAGGUGGGUCGAGAUGACUACCUAGUUUUUUAGUGUUGAAUCUGCAUUCUGAUGGAGAUAGGAAUGUUAUCCGAUGAUAUCGGAAGGACAGCUGUUUGGAAGUUGUUUAAGAAUUGUUUAAGAAAAGUUCAUUCCUCCGGCAUAUUGUGAUGGUAGUAAGCAAGAAUUUGCAAAUGUGAGACAAGGAAAAUGACGACGGAUGAAUAUUAUAGGAAGUUUACAUACUUGCCUUGUUUCCAUUCGGAUGUUGUUGUUAAUCUGGUCGAGGUGUUAUGUCGUUUUUGGCUGGAUAAUAAGAAGAAGUGGCGUUCUUUGGCGACCACUAUCCAAUGUACUAUUUACCAAGAAUUUACGAGAUGUUGUUGAGAAUUGAGGACUCUGAGAGUAUGAUCAGCGAGAGUAAAGAAGAAUAAGAAAAGAAUGGUAAUUAGAGGAAAGACGAUAAAGUUAAAGAUCCGUCAUAUCAAGGACAUUGAAAGACUCAGAGCUUCAAAAGAAGUGAAGUUAGAACUAAUUCUUCCAGCUUAGGUUUUAAUGCCACUGGUCGGAGGUGAAGUGAUAGAUUUACUGGUGAUCCCAGAUCUUAAAGACAAGGUGACUCGAGUAAGGGAAAUGUACCUUUGUGCCAUAGGUACAAUAUUAGACACUUUGGAGAGUGUGGGAAUCAGUGAAUGUGUUCAUGUGGACGGAUGGGACAUAGAGUUAUGAAUGAUCCCUAGAAUCAGUUGUUACCCAGCAGUCUUCCCUGACACCACAAUAUCGAUCCAACAGGUUUAUAGACUUAAUAGUUUGGUCAGAUGGGCCGUGAGUACAAGGAUAUUUGAUGAGUUAUAAGUCCAGCCGUUCAGGCCACAAGAGGUGGAUCCGGCAGACAUAUUAUUUGGAAAAUUGAUGAGUAAGUCGUACAGGUCACUAUAGUUGACUCCGACUUAUGUGCUAGCAUGGAUGGUUGAGCUAGAGAAUUAGCCGUACAGGUCAUUCUAGCUGACUCCGGCUAAUAUAUUUCUUAUUAUGGACGAUGUUGCCAAAGAAAGUAAUGUUGGAGCACGAUCAAGGCGUAUUUAUGUAUUUCUAAGGAAGAACAAGAUGAUAAUAUUACACCUUCAGGAAUUGUUACUUACUUAUCGAGACAACAGUGAGUUAUUUGUAUUGCGGGCUGCAGACCGUAAUAUUUAUAACUUAUUUGUUGGAUUCGUUAAGCAAGUAAACAGGUAGGGCACUCUAUGUUGAUUUGGUUUAUUCAGGAUGCCUAACGAUGGUGGAAGAUAUAGUUAUGCCAGUGAAUCUUAUUUCGUUGGACAUCGUGGAUUUGGAUGUGAAUUUAGGCACAUAUUAGUUGCGUUAUAAUCAUAACAAGAUAGAUUGCUACGUGAAACCAGUUCCCUUCCACCAAUUUGGAUGACUAGAGACUACUUUUGUGGGUAUGCAAAGCGGAUUGAGUUAGGCCGUUAUUUAUGCUGUGAGAGCAAAGAGAUUGUUAUCGAAAGGCUGCCAAGGAUACUUAGCUCAUAUGGUGCUAAAUGAUGUUGCUUCUAGUAGUUGGGAGAUGUAAAGGUGGUUAGACAUUUUCUGGAUGUUUUCCCUGAGGAAUUACCUGGAUUGCCGUUAGGCGGAAAUAUGGAGUUCACUACUGAUUUGUCUCCAGGCACAAAUUUUAUGUUAAAGAUUGGUUCAUGAUGAGUUAAGGGAAUUGAAAAUUCGGUUACAGGAAUUGGUUGAUAAGGUAUCAUUUAAAGUACAUCACGUUGGGGGAGCACCAGUUUAUUGGUGAGGAAGAAAAUGGACAUUAAGGCUAUGUUUUAAUUAUAGGUAAUUGAAUCGGGUAAUGAUCAAGAACCGUUAUCCAUUGUUGCGUAUUGAUGAUUGUUGAUCAACUUAGAGGUCUGCGUAUUUCCUAAGAUUGACUUAAGGUCUUGUUGUUACUGAUUGAAGAGUUAAUGAUAACGUUCCUAAGAUUGUGUUCAGGACUCGUUAUGGUCAUUAUGAGUUUUAGUGAUGUUAUUCGGAUUGAUGGAUUCUCUUGCUGUUUUAUGAGUUUGAUGGAUGAAGUAUUCCAGGAAUGCAUUGACAAGUUUGUUAUUGUUUUCAUUGACAAUAUUCUGGUAUACUCUAAGCCUAGAGCAGAGCAUGUUAGAUAUUUUAAGUUGAUGUUACAAAGUUUGAGGGAACGUCGAUUGUAUGCUAAGUUUAGCAAAUGCCAAUGUUGGAUGAAUCAAGAAACAUUUAUGAGAUAAGUUAUAUUUGCUAAAGGUAUUCAACUGAUUUUUUUUAAAAGGUAGCGGAAAUUGAGAAUUUGGAACAACCACGAACUGUGAUUGAGAUUCGAAGUUUUCUUAGUUUGGCAGGCUAUCGUGGAUGGUUCGUGAAAGAUUUCCCAGUCAUUGCUUUGGCACUGACGACAUUGACGAGAACAGAGGUUAAGUUUGAGUGGAUAAUAAUUGUGAGCAAAGGUUUCAACAGUUGAAGUAUUUCCUCACUCAUACACGUAUUUUAGCACUCCCAGAAGAUAGCAGUAAUUAUGAGGUCUUUAGUGAUGCUUCUUUGGUUGGUCUUGGAUAAGUGUUAAUGCAGCAAGGUAGGGAGAUUGCCUAUGUUUCACGGCAAUUGAAACUUCAUGAAAUGAAUUACUCUACUCAAUUUGGAGUUAGUAGCAAUCAUCUUUACUUGGAAGUUUUGGAGACAUUACUUUGAUAGUGAAAAGUGUAAGAUUUUUAUGAAUCAAAUGAGUCUCCAAUGUCUGCUUACUCGGAGGUAUUCUAAUCUUAGGCAACGAAGGCGGAGCGAGUUACUAAAUAAUUAUGAUUGCACGACCAGGGUGAUCGUGAAAUUGUUGCGACUGAUGCACUUGGUAGGAAGGCUCCGGUAAGAAUUAAUGCUUUGUAUGCUUGUUGUCUUUUCCCUUCUUGUGGAUUUGGGACCCUGGAGUGAAACUUAAGGUAAAAGUUGAGAAGAAGCUUAUUUGACUAAUUUUCAGGUUAGACCAAUUUUAGUUGAUUGUAUACUUGAUGCCCAGAAAUUUGACGAAGGAAUUCAAGAAUUAACCGAGGCAGAAUUGGAUGGUAUGUUUAUGCAAGAGAAUGGGACGUAUGUGCCAAAUUAUGCGGAAUUAAAGAAAGCAAUUUUGACGAUGUACACUGUUAAGUUUUUUUUAGGUAUGUUGGUUACUUCUAAGUUUUGGAUAGCGUACAGGAAGCUUGGUUACCAAGUUACCUUAUAGCACAACUUAUCGCCCUCAAAUAGAUGGUUAAUCAGAGAGCACUAUCUAGACUUUGCAGGAUAUGCUGAGAUCUUCAGUAUUGUAGUUGGCGACGUUUAGAUUAAGCGGUUGGAUUUGAGGGGAAUUGCCUACAUCUAUAGCGUUCAUUCGAGCAUGGGUAUGAAACCAUUUGAGGCACUUUUUGGUAAAGAUUGUAGUACACCUUUGUGUUGGACAGAAGUUGUCAAAAGAGUUCUUGCGGGCCCUGAGGUUAUGGAUGAGUCUACUUGGAAUGUUCGAGUGAUUAAUUUUAACUUGGAAAGCGGCCCAAGAUCGCCAGAAAAGUUUAACAGACAGACAUGCCACUGAUCGAGUGUACAAGGUAAGAGAUUGGGUAUUUAUGAAGUUAUCACCGUGGCGAGGUGUUGUUCGAUUUGGAAAGAAAGAUAAGUUGAGUCCUAGGUACACCGGACCUUAUCAGAUCACCGAGCGAGUCGGUGAAGAUGUUUACAGGCUUGAAUUGCCGUCAGAGCUGUCCAGUGUACAUAAUGUGUUUCACGUUUCGGUGCUUCGACAUUAUGUUACAAAUCCAUCGCAUGUGAUCCCUCUGCAACCUUUAGAGUUUAACCCAGAUUUGUGUUCGAAGAGGAGCCGAUGACGAUACUUGAUGGGAAAGAUAAGGUUCUAAGGAACAAGACGGUGAGUUUGGUGAAGGUGUUGUGGAGGAACCAUUCCGUAGAGGAAGCUACUUGGGAGACAGAAGAUCGAAUGAGAGAGAUGUACCCAAGGUUAUUCUACGAGUAUUAAAUGGUUUAUUUGGUUAUGGGAAUUUCGGGGACGAAAUUCUAUAAGGAGGGAAGAUUGUCACAGCCCGUCCCGGAGAUACAUUUGACGGGAAUGUGAAAUGACAGAUUUACCCUUAGCGGGUAUUAAGGUACGUGGGUGUGACGUUAUUUGGAUUAAUUUAAUAAGUUGGAUUAAAUUUAUUAGUUUGUAAAUAUUGUGAUUAGGGAUUAAAUGGAUGGUGAGGAUUGGUUUUGGUUGGGCCACGCAGGACCUUUCUCCUUCUCUCCUCUCCCGUGCCUCUCUGUCCCUCUCUCUCCUCCAUCUCGACUCACUCUCUCUCUCACCCUCAAACGUAUGGACCACACUCACAAACCUUCCAAACGUCACGGAUCGAAGCUAUUAAGGUAUGGUUCUUCAUCCUUUUGACGUUCUGAGUUGAAUGGUACUAGUUUUAGGAAGUGAAACCCUCGAAAUCACGUGAAACCCGAAUCUCCAUUUUUGGUCACUGUUCAUGCACUCAUAAUAUGUUGUGUUCCAGGGAAUUCUAAGCUUAUAGUGAGCUUAGUGAGGUCCCAAGGAAGCUCGGAGUGCUUCGUUGGAAGGAUUUGGACAUCGGGAUCACGAGGGUUAAGUUUAGCCGGUUUUGCUUGGAUUUUUCCGGUGAGAUUUAGUUGUUUUUGAAGCUUAAAAGUAGUAUAUUGUGAUUCUUCAUGUUGAGGGCUUCAAAUUGAUAUUAUACGAAGAAAAUGGUUAAGAAACGAAGGAGAACGAAGCAUUUGAAAAUUUCCCAAUUUUCCGGCCACCGGAAAAACCAGUCCGGUGAGCUCACGAGGAAGAAGGUGCGCGUGUGCGCGCAUGGACCCGUGCUUUCCCUGGCGCGUGGGGGCGCGUGCCACAUCAAAAAAUUAUUUUAACAAUUUUCGACGUCCGUGACGUCGAGUAGGUCAAUGUGGUAUAUUCAUAUACCCAAUUUGAGCACCGUAUGAGAAGUUAUUAAGAAUUGUUGGUUAGGUGCUUUAAAUAACGUUUUAUAGUUUUCGCAUUUAGGUGAAAAUGUGAAUUGACGAUCCAACCGUUGGAUCGUCACCAAACUUUGAUGCGUUCUAUACGUAAUAUUUGAGGAUUAUAGGAAUUUACGGAUUGGGAAUCCGAUUUGCGGAUCUUUCAGAAUUGGAGUUGUAAGUCCAUAAUAUAGAAUGUUAACCGUCACUUAGUUUUGUUAAUUGACGGAGAUCCGACCGUUGGAUGGUAAUGAAAUUUUAGGAUGUUGUCCUAGAGAUAUAUUGUGGACCUCUGGAAGUUAUGGAUUUAAAAUCUGAGUGGCAGAUCUUCCGGAUCGAACUUCGUAGUGACGUAUUUUAUAUAAGUUAUAUAUUCUAUCGAUAUGGAUUCUAAGGUUGGAUUUGAUUAUUGUUUUAGGCGCCGAUCGUCAUGACGCCUUGGCGUAUUGUGCUAGGGAGUUAUAGGGCGAACUCCAGGUGAGUGGGCAGUAUUUUCUGUUUAUACUUAUAUACUAUUGAAAUUCCCAGAAAUUGAGUUUUAAUGAAAGUAUGUUUCUAAAAUGCCAUGCAUGCAUGAUAUGAAUGAUAUGAGUUAUAUGAAUUGAUAAUUGAUGCAUAUAUUGUUGGAAAUGUGCCCUAAAGCCAAUCAUGUGAUGAUACUUUACGGACAUUUCACAUGUUAAACUAAUCUAGUUUAACAUAUAAAGGGCAUAGAUUAUUGUUUGAGCCGUCUCAUAUAAAUGUUAUAUGCUUAAACGAUAAAGUCCAAGGAAUUUGUGAUUGAGAGAAUGUAAUCUAAUGAAGUUAGAUUCUUGAGACCAUUCUUUCGUAGACACAUCCUAAACGUUCCUGAUCAUAGGAUUGCCAAUUGGGCAUUGACAGUCCGUCAAGAUCGGUACGUACUAUGUCUUCUCUCAGGGAGAGUGAUUAGUCUCGAAUCAUUGGUGUGUGUGACAUCAAGACAAGUACGGUAGGUGCUCAAUAGAGAAUGAGUUCACUGAACGCGAUCAACGAAGAGUUGUCAUAUUCCAUGUCACAUAAGAACUCAUGGUUGGGAUAAUGCAAAGUAGUCCUUUGACCUGAGGCAUCAUAGUUGUCUUGUGGUUAAGACCUUGAUCUUUGAUUAUGUCAAAGUCAUCCCACCAGGAGGGUGUCCACGGCAUCGUUGGGGUCAAGCCGCUUAGCUAUGGAGACAAGUGAAUGCGCAACAAGGGAUCUCUAACCUUCAAACCGUUUGAGGGAGAAUACUCUCUGAUAUGAUUUGAAUCUUUGGCCAAAGUAUGAAUGAGAUUAGGGAAUGCGUUCCGAAUCACAUUCAAAGUAAUCAUAUAAGCACAAGACACACAUUGGAUAGUAGACAUGAGAAAAUAAACUAUCAAACCAAACAAUGUGGUCAAGAGUAUUAGAUUAGAGAAGGACCGUAUUGCAUUUGUAAUCUCGAACUGAAUAGGUUCUCUAACCUCUUCUGAUUAGCUUGGGUAACCAUGAUAUGCUGCUAGGUGUCACUCAUGGUUUGUGGAAGCCCUAAACGUGUAUAAUCACUAAAGGGAGAAUUGAAAAUAGUUUCAAUUCACAAUCGAUGUAAAAUGGUUUUAAUCGCCCACUACCUCGCUAAAAGGAACCUAAUGGAUCGCACACCGUGAAAGGUGGAGAUUGGAGAUUAAACGGAAAUGAGUAAGAAUGAUUAAAUGGUUUAAUCAUUUAUUUAUGGCAAGGAUUAAUUAAUAUGUUAAUUAAUCAAACGAAUAAGUUCGUUAAAGACUUCGGGAUAGUUUUGGACCUUAAGGCCCAAUGGGCUUCGAACGUCAAGCCCAUUAACUUAAGUUGUAUGACAAUUUAAUGAAUGAAGAUUCAUUAAAGCCCAAAAGCCCAAAUCCCAUAAGGUGGCCGGCCAUAUUAGAUGAAUUAGGGUUGUUUGGUUAUUUAGGUCACUUAAAGAAGUGACUAUAUAAAUGACUUUAUAACUAAAUAUUCAUUAAGUGAAAAAUGGGUUUAUUUUUGGGGAAAAUAGGUGAGAAUUGUCUCUCCAUUUUCUCUCUAAAGAGGCCAACACCUUGGAGGGUACAUCUAGCAAUCCUACUACUCCAAGGUCACUCAUUUCUUCUACAAUCGAACCUUGGUGUCGAGAAUUAGAGGUUCUCAAUUUUGGGAACUUGGAGAACCUAUUCUUCCAUCCAAAUCCAUGGAUCUAAGAAGCAAGGAAUGAAGGCCCUUAUCUCUUUGGGUGAUUAGCCUUUGCUUAUGCAAAGAGGAAUCUACAAAGGUAUUAAUUUCAACUCACUUAUGUUUUGAGUUGAUUAUUGGUUCACCAAUCUACUAGGCUUUGAAUUUCAUGGGUAAAUGUUUUGUUUUUGAGUGCAUGUAAGCAUGAUUCCGCCUUUAAUUGUUAAUUGCAUGCUAUAUGAUGUUGCUCAAAUGAACAUGUUUUACAAAAUAAAUCCUUCAUAUAUAUAUAUGUGAAUUGACGCGGUGGACGCACAGGUGAGUUUUAUUAUUAUUCAGAUGAAUUAUUUUAUAUGAAUUGCAUUGAAAGCUCAUAACCUGCCCCUAGGUGUUAGUGCUUAUAUUAUUAUUCACCACACCGCACGCUCGCCUUGGAUCCAAGUUGGUGGAUGUCGUACAGACCAUGUGAGGGUUCCGACAUGCUAGUCGUACAUAUCACUAGUUGUGAUUCCGACUAGUGGGUGACCUUAGUUAUGCGCGCUGAUGAUUGAUGAGAGAAGCACUAGAGCGUAUUUAUACACCUGUCAUCGUACAGACUACUAUAUGUAGUUCCGAGUGACGUGCAGAGUUGGACCGUACAGGUCACCGAGGUGACUCCGGUUGGAUUGGAUGUUGAGCUUUAGAAUCAGCCGUACAGGACCACUUCAGGGUCUCCGGUUGAUUUAUUUUCACCUGAUUUAUAUUAAUGCAUCUAUAUUAUGUUUUUGGACACUUGGCAUGGCAUAUUUUUCAGAAAAGUGUUAAAGGAUAGUGAUUUGAGAUAUUUGCUUAUAUAUAUGUUUAUAUAUAUGCUAUUUUCUGGGAAAGUAUACAGGUUUUACAGCGAGGGGUUAGAAAUGUUUUAAAUGAAAGAUUUUCGAAAAGCUUUGUUUUGCUGACCCACUCAAUUUUGUUUUGCGCCCUUCCAUUUUCAAGUUAGCAGAGCUUUGGUGGCCACGAGGAACCCAACGGAGUUCUGACAGAAUUCACAAAAGUAGGACUCACCCUCGAGGGUUUCCAUUUUAGUAAUUGUAUUUUAAAAGCUUCCAAACUGUGUAAAUGGUUACGUCACUCUCACGUGACGGCCAACACGCCCUCCUUCAGGAUGGGGUGUGUCAUACAAACCAUCACUUUCACCCUUUUCCUCACCCACCAAAAUCAACUUGCAAAAACUUUUUAGAAAAUUUUUCAUAACUUCUUCCAUUGGCCGGCCACCCCAAGUGGGGUUACUUUUGGGGCCUUUUGUGCAAUUACAUAAAGUUUGAGAUACUUUUGUGUGUUUGCAUUUUGGCCCAAAAGUUUACGUUUUACGUUAAGGCCCAAAAACUCUAAAGGACAAAUUGUUUUGAUCCUUUAAUGAUGCUUUUACAUUAUUAAAAUUUUGGGAUCUAGUUGUAAUUACAUGAAGUUGUGGACUAUUGUGUUUUUACAAAGUGACCCCAAAAGUUUUUGUAUUUGCAUUAUGGCCAAAUUGUUGUGGUCAUAGUUUCCUUUUGGCCCAAAUAAAAUGAGAACAAAAUGGUUUUGUCUCUUUAAUGAGAAUUGGAUUUUCAUUUCAUUAAGUUCCAUUUAAAUCAAUUCUAUGGAUCCAAAAACCAAUUGUUUAAAGUUGUUUUCUUAGUUAAUGUGAUUGAUUAAGAAAAGGGUGAUUAUGAACCAAUGGCCACGAUAAUUGAGCUAUGUGAUUGGCCGAUUUACAUUAUGAAUGUUUGGGUUUUAGUAGUGUAGAUUUGAAUGUAAUUUGAUUAAUUCAAUUUGUUGUAAAUGGGCAUAAGUCCAUCAUUUGAUUUGUGUUGUAAAAGGGCAUAAGCCCUUCUUAUUAUUUCAUGUAUUCCUUUUGUUUAUAUGUAUGCAAAAUGGAAUAGUUGGGUCCAACGCCCAAUAGGAAAUAACGAUUUAAUUGGAUUAAACGCGUAACUAAAAUCAACAACUAUCUACCUUAAACCCAAGGUCCAACACAAGGCUCGUGUUGGAUCAAAUUAAUCGGUUCAUAAUCAUCCUAAAACCAAAUAUGACUAUAUAGUCCAUAUGAGGAUGCAAUGCAUUCGUUAGUAGUUCCAUAUAGUCUCACUUAUUUCUUCGAAAUAGUGGGAGUAUUAUAAACUACUAAUUCAUAUUAAACUUGGACCAAUGGUUGUGAUAGGCCCAAGUUCUUUUAAUAUGAUUAAAAUGAUUUUGAUGUAGCCCAAAACUACUCCCUUGACAAACGAAUAUUAAGUUGAUAAGCGAGAGAUGUUUUGAACAUCUCUUCGUAGGCCUUCCACCGUGGUGGGCUCCAAUCGUUUGUGACUCAUGCACCGGCUUCACCCUAUCAUGGGGGAGUUCAAAGUAUGUGCUUACAUCCAGGAGGAGUCCAUAAACAUAUGAUGAGGUGAGUGUAGGCAACGAGGAUAGCCGACAUCGUAUCAUCGUGAGGCUAUUCUUGAACCCCUUCACGAACUAAGCAUGGUGGGAAUAACUUAAUCUAAGUGCAAUGGAGCCGACAUCGUAUCAUCGUGAGGCAACAUUCUCUAGAGGCCAAACGGAUGGGUAAUUACAAAAGGUUGUAAAUGAAUAAUGCGUUAUUCUCUCAUCAUUAUUUUUGCUAACCAACAUCAUAUCAUUGUGAGGUGGGCUUGGUAAUGGUGAGUCUCCCAUACCCCGCUAAGAGUUCAAUAUAACUCUCGAAUUCUAUUGAGGGAUGUGGAAUUUGCCAAAAAUAGUGGGUGGUACUAUUUGAUUCAAAGACCCAAUCAAAUAGUUUUAAACAAACAAUCUAAUACGAUUUCUGUUAUGUUAUGUAGUUAACGACAUGCCUAAAAUUAUACCCACCAUUAUACUUGACAAAAGGAGCCUUAAGGGCCAACGUUUCCUUGCUUGGUAUCGCCACAUUGAGAAUGUCUCAAAGGUGAAAGACAUAUUGUUUAUGCUUAAGCAAUCCCCUCCUCAUGUACCUCCUACGAAACUAGCUUCAAAGGAGGAGUGUCAAAAUUAUGUUAGACACUAUGAGGAUGACUUACAAGCCAAAUGCUUAAUCCUCACUUCACUUAGUGAGGAGCUUAUGAAGCUACAUAAGCACAUGGACACUUCUUGUGCCAUGGUUGAAAGUUUGCAUAAGAUGCAUGACAUUGAGACUAGUAAUGUACGAUUCUCAAAUGUUUGUAGUCUAAUGAAUGCCAAAAUGGCAAAGGGGACAUCGGUCCAUGAACAUGGACAAAAGAUGGAAAAGAUAUUUAAAGAUCUUAAAAGUUUGGGAACUUCCAUCGAUGGGAAAAUGGCCCAAGACUUUUUCCUUGCAUCUCUCUCGGAUGAUUUCACUAAGUUUAUUGUAAACUAUAAAGUGAAUAGAUUCGAUCAUGCUUUAAACGAGAUGAUUGACAUGUGCUGUAAAUUUGAAAAAGGUUUCAAAAUGGACAGUGGGAGUGAGAAUGCAAACACAAGGAAAAGGUUGCAUAAGAAGAAGGCAAAGAAAUCCAAAGGAACAUGCUUUCAUUGUGGAAAGGAUGAACGUUGGAAGAAGAAAUACAGGGUGCGCAUUGCGAGCCUUAUGACAUGAACUUUUGAAGAGACCAUUUAUGUCAUAGAGAGUGCUUUUACAGUAAGCUCCAAUUCCUGGAUAUUUGAUUCAGGCGCUAGUCAACAUAUCUGUAAUACGAUGCAGGGACUAGCGGGGAGCAGGUCACUGCGCAAUGGGGAGAUGGUUGUGCGAGUUGGGAACGGCACUAAAAUCUGCAAAAGCAAUAGGCACGUACAUGCUUAACCUACCCUCUGGGGAAGUCCUGAAACUUAAAAAUUGUUUAUAUUUGAACGGUCGUAUUAUCUCUCAUGGUAAUAUGAUAGAGGGACUCAGUAUUGUUUGACAAAAUGAGUUGCACUUUAUACUUGAACGGUCGUAUUAUCUCUCAUGGUAAUAUGAUAGAGGGACUUUUUCACCUAGAGACGAAUAGUGGGAUGCACUGUAUUGCAAGCGGGAAUACCUCAAAACCCAAAAGGGCUAGAGAAGAAGUUAACCAAGAAAAGAUAUGGCAUCUUAAACUUGGACAUGUGAACCUUGAUAAGAUUCACAAGAUGUCGAAAGACGGAUAUAUCCGCCCAUUAGGUAAUGACCAGAUGGGUACUUGUGAAUGUUGCUUGAAAGGGAAGAUGACCAAAUCUCCAUUUACUGGAAAAGGAGAGCGUGCCACUGAAAUUCUAGGGUUAAUCCACACUGACGUAUGUGGACCUAUGUCUACUACGUCGAGAGGAGGCUUCUCCUACUAUAUCACAUUCACCGACGAUCACUCUCGGUUUGGCUAUGUGUAUCUUAUGAAGUACAAGUCAGAAUCCUUUGAAAGGUUCAAGGAAUUCAAGAAUGAAGUUGAGAAGCAAACUGGGAAACAGAUAAAGAUCCUAAGAUCGGAUCGAGGGGGUGAAUAUCUGAGUAAUGAGUUCCUAGAUUAUCUCAAAGAGUGUGGAAUAAUAUCACAGUGGACUAACCGGGAACUCCACAACUUAAUGGAGUUUCUGAAAGGAGAAAUCGAACCUUGGUGAACAUGGUUCGUUCUAUGAUGAGUUCCGCUGAUCUACCCGUAACAUUCUGGGGAUACGCUCUAUAUACAGCAGCUUACUUGCUUAAUAGAGUACCUUCCAAAUCAGUUUCACAAACGCCCUAUGAGAUAUGGCAUGGAAGAAAGCCAAGUCUUAAUCAUGUUAAGAUUUGGGGUUGUGAAGCAUAUGUCAAGAAGCUUGAAGCUACUAAGCUUGAAGCGAGAUCAGUAAGAUGCUAUUUUGUGGGAUAUCCUAGAGAAACUAUGGGAUAUGAGUUCUACCAUCCUGACGACCAGAAAGUCUUUGUCGCCAGAACUGCUAAGUUUCUAGAGGACGAAUUCGUUCUCAAAAGAACUAUAAGCAAAGAGAUGGAAAUUAAUGAGAUUAAUAAUGAACCACAAACAAGCACUCGACAUAUUGACAACCCUGUUCCUGAACCCCUAGCUCCACGUAGAUCUGAACGGGUUAGUAAGCCACCUAAGAGGUAUGGCUUAGACAAAGACUUUGCUGAAUUGUACCUUCUAGGUGACAAUGAAACAAAGGAGGACCCUAGGGACUACACUGAAGCAAUGUCCGACAUUGAUUCAAAGAGAUGGCAAGAGGCCAUGAAAUCCGAGAUGGAUUCCAUGUAUCAAAAUCAGGUCUGGACUCUUGUAGACCCUCCAGAAGGUAUUGUACAUGUUGGAAACAAAUGGGUCUUCAAGAGUAAGAUAGGCGUUGAUGGGAACGUGGAGACUUAUAAGGCUAGACUCGUAGCCAAGGGUUACAGGCAAUGAGAAGGGAUUGAUUAUGAAGAAACCUUCUCUCCUGUAGCCAUGAUUAAGUCCAUUCGGAUUUUGCUUGCUAUAGCUGCAUACCAUGAUUAUGAAAUCUGGCAAAUGGAUGUGAAGACGGCCUUUCUGAACGGCUACCUAGAGGAAGAGCUCUAUAUGACUCAACCCGAAGGUUUCGUGUCCAAGUCUGAAAAGACUAAGGUAUGCAAGCUUCAAAGGUCCAUUUAUGGACUUAAGCAAGCCUCCAGGAGCUGGAACAUUCGUUUCGACACUGAAAUCAAAACGUUUGGUUUUACUCAAAACGAAGACAACAAUUGUGUUUAUCAAAGGUCGUUGGGGAAGCAGUAGUAUUCCUAGUGUUAUAUGUAGAUGACAUAUUACUAUUCGGGAAUGACACUGCAAUACUUUCUUCUGUAAAAGUGUGGUUGUCCAAAACCUUCCACAUGAAAGAUUUAGGAGAUGCAUCUUAUGUACUUAGGAUAAAGCUCUAUCGUGAUAGAUCCAGAAGAUUAAUUGGAUUAUCCCAAUCUAUGUACAUUGAUAAGGUGCUAAGUAGGUUCGAAAUGGAACAAUCUAAGAAAGGUUUUCUUCAUGUGAGACAUGGAAUUCACCUUUCUAAGACCAUGGAACCUAAGACUCCUGAAGAGAUACGGCAAAUGAGUUAUAUUCCUUAUGCUUCCGCCAUAGGAAGUCUCAUGUAUGCCAUGAUAUGCACAAGGCCUGAUAUCGCAUAUGCUGUGAGCAUUACUAGUCGAUAUCAAUCUAACCCAGGAUCAGAACACUGGGCAGCUGUCAAGACAGUCCUUAAGUACUUAAGAAGAACUAAAGACAUGUUCCUCGUAUAUGGAGGAGCAGCAGAGUUGCGAGUGGAAGGCUAUACAGACGCAGAUUUCCAAUCUGACGUCGAUGAUAGAAGUUCCAACUCCGGAUAUGUAUUCACUCUGAAUGGUGGGGCUGUCAGUUGGAAGAGCAAGAAACAAAGUGUAAUUGCUGAUUCCACAACAGAGGCUGAAUAUGUCGCUGCAGCUGAAGCCGGCAAAGAAGCGUUCUGGAUGAAGAAGUUCAUCACUGAACUUGGGGUGGUUCCAACCAUUACAUCACCAGUAACUUUGUACUGUGAUAAUAGUGGGGCGAUAGCUCAAGCCAAGGAACCCAGGGCACAUCAAAAGAACAAGCAUUUUGACAGAUGCUUUAAUAUCAUUAGAAGAUAUGCUGCCGAGGGGAAAGUCAAUAUCCUCAAAGUUGCUUCAGCCGAUAACGUAGCAGAUCCACUGACAAAGCCAAUGUCUCAAAUCCAGCUUGACCGUCAUAUGGAAAAGAUGGGUAUUAGAUACAUGGGAAGAUGGCUUUGAGUUCAAGUGGGAGAUUGUUGGAAGUAUGCCCACAAAGCCACUCAUUUGAUAUAAUAGCUUUUUGGAAUACUUAAUGUAUUAAACUUUUAUAUGUUUAAUGGAGGGCAAAGCUUAUUGUUAAUCACUAUUUAUUGUAUCAUGUGUUUAAGCAAUAAGGGAAUCCAAGGGAUGUAUUUGUUCUAAGAGACAAGUGAUCUAAGUGAGUUAGAUUAUCGAGACCAUUCUCUUAUGUUCAUUCCUAAAACGUUCCUAGCCAUAGGAUUGCCAAUUGGGCAUUGACAAUCCGCUAAGGUUAGUAUGUGUUAUGUUGACUCAAGCGUGAGUAUGACUAGUCUCAAGUCAUUUGGUGUUGGACACUAAGACAAACACAUAGGUGCUCGAAAGAGUAAUCGAGUACACUGAACUACGAUCAAAAGAGAGUUCGAACAUACAUGUCGUGUAUGAACUCUAAAGUUGCAAUAUGCAAAGUAGUCCUUUGACCUGAGGCAUCAUAGAUGUCUAAUGGUUAGGUUCUUGAUCUUUAAUCAUGUCAACGGCAUUCCCUCGGAAUGUCCACGGCAUUGUUGGGGUCAAGUUAUCUAGUCAUGUAGGCAUAUGAAUGCACAACAAGGGAUCUCUAACCUUCCAUGGUGGAAGGAGAAUACUCUAAGAUAUGAUUCUAAAGUCUUUGGCCAAAGCAAAUGAAUAUGACUUAGGAAGUUUGUUCCAAAUCAUAUUCAAGGGAAUCAUAUAGGAAAGUAUCACAUUGGAUAGUAGACAUGAAACAAACUAUCACUUAAACAAUGUGAUUAAGAGUAUUGUAUUAGAGAAGGACCGUAUUGCAUUGUAAUUGUAACUGGAUAGGUUCUCCAACCAAUUCUACUUAGCUUGGGUAACCAUGAUAUGCUGUUAGGCGUCACUCAUGGUUUGUGGAAGCCCUAAUGGUUAGCAAACACUAAUCAAUAAAGGGAGAAUUGAAAUGUGGUUUCAAUUCACAAUCGAUCGUUAAGAGUAACAAUCGCCCACUGCCUCGUUAAUUGGAACCUAAUGGAUCGUACACCGAGUAAGGAUGUAUGUGAAGAAAUCAAAUGAAAUGGAUAAGCAAUUAAAUGGUUUAAUUGAAGAAUGGUCAAGAUUAAUUAAUUAGUUAAUUAAUUUUACGAAAGGUUCGUGUUGGGCUUAUAUGUUGGUUUUGGGUUUCAGGGCCCAAAAGCGUUUUGGUCCAAAAGGCCCAUUAUGUUUAAGUUGUAUGACAACUAAAACAAAAUAGCCCAUUAUGAUUAAUUACAAGUUUGCCACUCACUUGUAAUGAAGUAUAAAUUCAACUUUAUAGCUUUAUUUUAAAAAAAAAGGGUUUUCUUGAUGAAAUUGGGUGAAACAUUUUCUCUCUUUUUCUUCCAAGAGGCCGGCCACUAAGGGGAGGGACAUCUAGCAAUCUCUUCUUCCCUAAGUCAUCCAUAUCAUCUUCACAAGAUACAUCGUUGGUGAAGACUUAGAGACAUCAAACUUUUGGUGUUUUGGAGAACAUAUCCUCAUUUCCUCAAAUCUUCAAAGGAGCACUAAAGGGAGGAAAACACAAGGAGGAUUCAAGGAGCUUGGAGGUGACUUGAAGGCCCUCCACUUGGGUGAAUCCCUUGUGUAAACAAGGAUGAGCUUCAAGGGUAAAGAAACUCUAAAUCUUUACUUAUCUUUAAUGUUGUUAAAGAGUUUAUUGGUUCACCAUAUACUAGGCUUUGAAAGUCAUGGGUUUUAUGAAUUGUUUUUGAAUGCAUGUCUACUUUAAAGUGUUAAUAGCUUGCAUAUGUAUUCAAAUGUUCAUACUUGUUCUUAGCUAGGACAAAAUUUUUCCUUCAGGUCGGGCCUCAAAGAGGACAAUAUCGUGCUACGGUGGAGUCGAGCCCGGGAUGUGGUGGAGCCCGGGUCAGGAUGUGACAAUUUGGUAUCAUCUCCAAUCCCUAGCUGACAGUGUGCUGACGAGGAUGUCAGGCCCCUAAGGGGGGUGGACUGUAACAUCCCACAUCGCCCAGGGGAGUAAAUCCUGUAAGUCUUAUAUGUAUAUUCCCAUCUCUACCUUGCAUGAGGCUUUUUGGGAGCUCACCGGCUUCAGGUUCCAUCGGAACUUCGAAGUUCAGCGAGUUCACGCGAGAGCAAUCCCAUGAUGGGUGACCAACUAGGAAGUUCUCGUGUGAGUUCCCAAAAACAAAACCUUGAGGGCGUGGCCGGGGCUCAAAGCGGACAAUAUCGUGCUACAGCGGAGUCGAGCCCAGGAUGUGGUAGAGCCCGGGUUGGGAUGUGACAUUACUGGUCAUGGUUCCCUUGCUAAAAAACUAGGGAAAAUACCCCUCGUGGCUUAUAUCCCCUAGUCGUAAAGUAGAGAUUUCGUCGCGAGGCAGUGAAUAGUGGCAGCAACCACUGUGUAGCGCAAGGUUUUAUGCCUAGGUUCCAGUUUCGUGAAUCCACCCUUGUUUCUGAUUUCACAGCUAAGAGACGAGGUGAUGUGUGGGGUUUGUGGCAGUGACACUCGACGAAAUGGUGAGUUGGUGGUGGCACAGUGUAACUGUGCACAGUUGGCAAAUAGACAUAGAGAGAUCGAGUUUUAGGGGGAUGGAGAGUUAAGAGAGAUAGAGCGAAAAUGAGAGAGUGUCCAAGAGUGUUGGGAAAAAGAAGAUGGCAGAAGACACGAGGGAGAUUUCAAAGUGGGGAGUCCCAUGUGGGUGGGUCCUAAUGGAUAGAAAAAUCUCACAAGAAAAUAUUAAAAUAAGAAAGGGCAAAUUAUCUAGAAUAUUGAAUAUAUGAAAAUGCCCUUAGUAUUCAGUGUUUUGUAAAAUAUUUAUCAUAGCAUUGAAUUCAGUCCCGCUUUUGCCCAUGUGUUCGUAUCAUCAAGUACUUCGAGAAUAUGUAUGUGUGUGUGUCUAUGGGUCAAACAAAAAUACUAAUUAAUUAGGUACGAGACCUAAUUAAUAAUAUACUAAUGUAGACAGGCCUACAUACCUUUAUUUAACGAACCCAACGAAUAAGCCAUCAAUAUUACUAUUUGCAGUCCACAAUACCGACAACUCAUUGUUGUCUCGAUAAACAAGUAAUAAAUUUUUGAGAGUGCAAAAUUACCAUUUUGACAUUCAUUGGGAAACGUGCAUAAAUUGUCCAAUUUACGUCUGUUCACGCUCACAUGUUCACAAGAACAUGUACCACCUGAAAAUAUGUGCAAAGGAACAUAGUGAUAAGGACUCAAAUGUUCACGAAGGAUAUUAAAUUAGGGACGGGAUGUCACAAUCUACCCUCCUUAUAGAAAUUUCAUCCUCGAAAUUUCAAUCAUACUAUAUCUUCCUCGAAGAAUGAGUAUGAAAAUAAGGAGAUCAUGCGUAAAGGUGUAUAACUGGAUAACGAGAAACCAUGUCGAGAAGGCUAAAUGAGCACUAAAAAUUUUUGAAAGUCAACACAAGUCCAUCAGUUCUUAAGUACAAGAUAACUCUAAUGCAAGAACAAGUGUAAGUACCUAAUCUAAUCCUAUGGUGGCAAGUCAAGCCGGUGCGUAACCUUUUCGACUUGAUAGAUAAUCUAAUACAAUCUAAUAGGUGGGAACAUAAUCUAUUUCGUUUACAAAUAUUUGCAGCCUCUCGCUAUAAAGGUAGUGGCAAAGAUACCCAAUCACCAACAUUAAAGAUUCAUUUAGUAGAAGGUUUGUAGGGAAAGUGGGUCUCAGUUAAAACUUCAGUGUUAAAGUGGUUCUCCUGGACAGACCAUCAAUCUCAGGAAAGGUAUGAAGUGUUGUAAGGUAGACACGUACCCAAGGUUGACCAGAAUGCUUUCCAGUAGAUGGAGGUAAAUAUAUAAUCACAGUCAGAGUUGACGCUAACCGAAACACUAGAAAAUCUAAUAAAUUUAAGAAUGAGAAAUUUUACUCAGUGGCGAAAAUGUAGUCCCUUUGGAUGAACGGAAAGUGAACUGGCUUGUUGAUUCAGUUGACAGUCACUAAAACAUCAUCAUAAUCUCCACGUAUACAAGAAAUCUCGUACAAUAAGUCUACAGUGAUAUUUCCCCGUCUCCAUUUAAACAUGAUGUGAUUAUAACCACUCAAAUGAUUUCUUUCUUUCUAAUUUGACCUAUAGACAACUCAAGUAUUUUGUAAACGAUUAAGCAAUCUUCUUUUUCAUCCCAAGUCAAAAGUAGAAAGGUCACUUCUAAGUUUUGGGUGGCAUUUCUGGAAGCUCUUGGUUCGAGAUUGUAUUAUAGUAAGGCGUAUCAUCCAAAGAAAGACGGGCAAUCCAAGAGAACCAUCCAAACAUUAGAAGAUAUGUUGAGAUCUUCAGUAUUACAGUUUGGCGACACUUGGCAUAAGUGUUUAGAUUUGAUAGAGUUUGCCUACAAUGACAGCUACCAUUCUAGCAUCGAUAUGUCACCUUUUGAGGCACUCUAUGGUAAUCCUGUCGUACUCCUCUGUGUUGGUCAAAAGUUGAUGAGAGGGUGUUAGUGGGGCCAGAGAUUGUUGAUGGGACGACUCAGAAUAUUCAGGUAAUUAUAUUUAACCUGGAAGUAGCCCAAGGCCGACAAAAGAGCCUUGUCGAUAAACACGCCACUGAUAGGGUGUAUAAAGUUGGAGAUUGGGUAUUUCUGAAGCUAUUUCCGUGGAAGGGCGUUGUACAGUUUGGUAAGAAAGGUAAGUUAAGUCCUCGCUACAUUGGAAUGUACCAGAUCACCGAGCGAGUCGGUGAAGUCGCCUACAGACUUGAGUUACCUCUGGAACUGUCAACGGUACACGAUGUUUUUCAUGCCUCUAUGCUCCAUCAUUAUGCCUCCGAUCCAUCACACAUGAUACCUCCUCAGCCAUUAGAAAUUAAUCCAGACUUAACAUACGACGAGGAGCUAGUGACGAUUUUAGAUUGGAAGGAUAAAGUUCUGAGGAACAAAACUGUGCGCAUGGUGAAAGUUUUAUGGAGGAAGCCACUUGGAGAUGGAGGAUCAUACGCGAGAUAUGUAUCCACGCUUAUUUUAUCAAUAUUAGUGGUUUGUUAUGUUAGUGUAUAGAAAUUUCAGGGAUGAAAUUUUAUUAAGGGGGGUAGGUUGUGACGACCAGUCUCGAAUAAUUAUAUAUUUUUAUACUCGAAUGUGUGGAAAUAACGAUUAUGCCCUCGAGGCUUAGUGACGUGGAUGUAUGUAUAUAGUUUUAAAUUAUUUUUCCCGCUAAUGUGAUUAGAUUGCGAGUUAGAGCCGAGUUGGGUUCGUAAUGAAAAUGUUACGAAUAAAUGAAUGUGUAAUCGGGCUAAGGAAUUAGACCAAUCACCACACCUCCUACUUUCUUGGGUCCAAUUAGAAUUUUUGGUUUGUUUUGGGGGUCAAUUGUUGGCCCUAAACAUGCAGUCCAAUUAGGGCUUGAGGUAAUUUAAAAUUGCCCAAUCCGGACACACACACACACAUACACGUGCCAACCUCCCUCAUCCUCUCCUUCUUUCUCGAACUCUCCCUCUCAUCCAUAUGAUCAAACCCCCUAACCUUCAAACACCAUCACACACACACAGAUCGAGCUUAAGGACAACACCAUCAUACUUCCCUCGACCUCACGAGUUUAGCCGUACCAUUUGUUUGAGGGGAAGACGUGUAGAACUCGAGAUACCCGAGCUCCGACGAGGGGUUUAAUUUUCUCCAAUGUGAUCGUGAAGGAUUUACCUAAUUUUGAGACUUAAGAGGGUACUUUUCUAGCUUCCCUAGCACUUUGGAACAAUUUUGGAGUAUUUUGGACAUCAGAAUAAGCUUGACCGUGGGUUUAUAGGUUUAGCUAGAAUUUCAAAGGAUUUAUCGACAACUUCUUGUCGGUUUUAGGACCCCAAAUAGGUAUGGUUGCAUUCUACUCUUCAAGAGUUUUAAAUCCAUAUAAAAUUCAUGGAAUUUGGUGGAGUUUUGAAGAAGAUAUUGAAGUUUGAAGUUUUUCCAGUUUCCAACAUAACAGACGGUGGCUGGCGGCGGCUCCGGCGAGGACCACCAGAGAAUACAAGGAAUAUUUCGUCAACUUUGACAGAAUAUACUUACGGCGUCAAGUAAAACCGUUAGUUUUUAGAUGGAAUAUGCUGUUAUUUAACGAAAUAUUCCCUAAUGUCGUUAAGGAUUCCGUCUGCGUGCCAGGCACGUGCCUGUGCAAUGACGGAUCGUGUGGCCAUGCCUUGGUUGGCAUGUGAGGGCGCGUGGGACAUCGGAAAAUUAUUCUAAAAACAUGGGGAUGCUCAUGGUGUUGAGUAGGCCAUGAUCGUAUAUUCAAACACCCCAAUUGAGCAACGUAUGAGAAGUUAUUACACGAUUUUGGUUAUGUGCUUAAAAUUAACGUUGGAUUAGUUGUUUCACAUAUAGGUGAGACGUUUCCAGAGGACAAGCACUGCCAGGCAAGACUCGGGGGUUAUGACCCUGCUACAUACCAGUGAGUGGGCUUUUGGUUUUCUAUAUAUACGUAUAUACGCUUUACAGUUUUCCCAAAAACUGUUUUAAAUGGAUUUACAUUCUUAAAUGCCAUGUCAAUUGCAUUACAUUUUAGUAUGUGCAUUAGUAUAGAUAUGCAUAUUAUUGCAUGACGCUGCAGACGGUCAGGUAAGCUUCAGGUGAGUACAUAUUGAUGAUAAUGAUUGUAGUGUAUUUGGUUAUGUUGAGAUACAUUUAGUACUCAUUAUCUUGCACCCCGGUGUUAGUGCUCUGUCUGAGGCCAGGGCCUAGCCUUCACGUGAUCGUUCACCUCCCGCACCAUACGAUCACCUUCGAUCCGAGGCAGGUGCUAGCCUGUCGUACAGACCACAUUAGGUGGUUCCGACUCGUAGGUGACUUGCAAUACUUCGCAUAGCCUUCACGUGGCCAUAGCACUUGAGCAUACCUAUUUACACCCAACCUGUCGUACAGACAACAUUAGGUGGUUCCGACUCAUGUACAGGAUUUGGUAUAUGAGCUAUAGGUUCAGCCGUAUAGGUCACAUUAGGUGACUCCGGCUGGCAUAUCAUUUUACAUUGAUUUAUUCCACCAGGCUUACUUAUUUCAUGGCUGAGAUACUUGACAUGGCAUAUACUUGGUUUUCAUUACUCUCGAGCAUGAUUUCUAUAUACAUAUCUAUUAAUAUUUUCUGGGAAAUUAUACGGGUUUUAUGGUGAGGGGUUAUUACUUUUGAAAAGUUAAAUGGUUUUUAAAAGCUUUGUUUUUGCCCACUCACGUUUUCUGUUUUGUGCCCCUCUAGGUUCUAGGUGGAAGUUUGUGUUGGUGGCUUACGAGGAUUCUACGACGGUUCUGACAGAAUUCAAACAAUGUAGGAAUUUUCUUUCUCUCAUGUCUUGUAUAAUUAAUACUUAGCCUGCUGGACUGCACUUAGGUUACCUAUGCUCUGAAUAUGUGUAUCUACUCUUUAAAUACCUUCACUCGCACCUAUAUACUUACCUAGUGUAAAUUAGCUAGUUUGGUUUUUUAUUUACCCACAUUUUCAUAUCAUUGUCACUUCCGCACUGCGCACAUGGCUACAUCAUCAUCAUGUGACGGCCAACAUGCCUCGAUUUAUGUCGGGGUAUGUCACAUCGGAUUUUCCAACUGACGAUCCAUAAUUAUAUAUUGUUUUUAAUCGAAUGUCUUUAUCUACAUUUUGCUGAUUUAAUUCUUUGUUUUGUUGUUCCUUUUUAUUAAGAUUUAAGCUAGAAUUUUUAGUUGGGUAUAUGAAUCGAAUUAAGAAAUUUAAGAGUUUGUAUCAUUUUCUCCUUUCUUUCCAUUUUUGCUAUUUUAUAUUGUACUUUUUCUAAACUUUAUAACUUGAUUUGUAGGAAUAUCUGGUGUUAGAUCUCAAUUCUUCAAUUUAAUUUAUUUAAUCUUGAUUCUUAUUGGAAGCUAUUCGGAAUUAUUAAUAUAUUUGUGUUGGUUCUUGCAAAACUUAACUUUGUAAUGCUCUAACUUAUGUAGCUUUUCAAUUUUAUUUAUACCAAGCCUAUGUAGCGCGUAGGCCGAGUAACUAAUGAGCUAACUACGUCCUUCGGUUGAUGCAGGGCGCGCCAACUCGUCGGCUGAGCUCGGCCAAGGAGUAAAAUGUGUUGAUGUUGCGUUGAGCACACGGCUAACUUCUCGAUCUUGCAACUACGGCCGAGGAAGGAACACAUCUCAACCUUUAGGUUCUAGAGGCUGAAGACAAGGUUGCUAGUUUUGUGAAGUUCACAAAUCGUCGGCGUUGGAUUCGGUCACAGUGAUUAUAUUUGUAAGGGUAUAAGCAUGCUGAAUCGACACCAAAGUAUAGGGGCACAAAUACUCAAAACAGAUAUAUGUCUUGAUGGUGAAUGUGGUUCGGCUACCAAAAUGCCGAACUCUAAAGCUCACUUGUGAGUAUCCAAUCAUAAAACAACUCGGUGUUCAAUGUGCCGAGCCCUAGUAAAUUGUAACACCUCACCUCGCCGAAAAGGCUAAUGAGAUGACCUCUGCCAAUAAAGACCCUAAAUCUCCACACCAAGUUCUCAAAAUAGAGAACCUCUAAGUCUCCACACCAAGGUUAGAUUUAAGUGAAAUGAGUGACCUAGAGGAAGUUGGAUUGCUAGCUAAUCUCCUCUAGGGUGGCCGGCCUCUUUAGAGAGAAAUGAGAGCUUUGUGUUCUCAUCCUUUCCCAAAAAGAAACCCUAAAUGAAUUUUGGCUAUAAAGUCAUAUUUAUACCUUAAUUCAUUGGAGUGGCAAACUUGUAAAUAAGUCCAAAACCCACUCCAUCUCUAAAUGGCCGGCCAUAGGGAUUCAUUGGACUAUUUGGGCCUUUGUGAAUCAUUAUUCAUUAAGUUGUCAUACAACUUAAGUCAAUGGACUUGACGUUCGAAGCCCAUUGGGCCUUAAGGUCCAAAACUAUCCCGAGGUCUUUAACGAACUUAUUCGUUUGAUUAAUUAACAUAUUAAUUAAUCCUUGCCAUAAAUAAUUAAACCAUUUAAUUAUUCUUACUCAUCUCCGUUGUUUCUUCAAUCUCUACCUUACACGGUGUACGAUCCAUUAGGUUCCUUUUUAGCGAGGCAGUGGGCGAUUAAAACUCUUUCAAAUCGAUUGUGAAUUGAAACUUACUUUCAAUUCUCCCUUUAGUGUUUAUACACGUUUAGGGCUUCCAGAAACCAAGAGUGACACCUAGCAGCAUAUCAUGGUUACCCAAGCUAAUAAGAAGAGGUGGAGAACCUAUUCAGUUUAGGAUUACAAAUGCAAUACGGUAUUUCUCUAAUACAAUACUCUUGACCACAUUGUUUGGUUUGAUAGUUUAUUCAUGUCUACUAUCCAAUGUGAUUCGUGUGCUUAUAUGAUUACCUUGAAUGUGAUUUGGAACGACUUCCUAAAUCUCAUUCAUACUUUGGCCAAAGAUUCUUAAUCAUAUCAUAGAGUAUUCUCCCUUAAACGAUUUGAAGGUUAGAGAUCCCUUGUUGCACAUUCACUUGCCUCCAUGGCUAAGUGGCUUAACCCCAACGAUGUCGUGGACACCCUCGAAUGGAGUGACUUUGACACAAUCAAAGAUCAAGGACUUAACCACAAGACAACUAUGAUGCCUCAGGUCAAAGGACUACUUUGCAUUAUCCCAACCAUGAGUUCUCAUGUGACAUGAGUAUGAGAACUCCUCGUUGAUCGUGUUCAGUGGACUCAUUCGCUAUUGAGCACCUACAUGCUUGUCUUGAUGUCACACACACCAAUGACUCGAGACUAGUCACUCUCCCUGAGAGAAGACACAGCACGUACUGAUCUUAACGGACUGUCAAUGCCCAAUUAGCAAUCCUAUGAUCAGGAACGUUUAGGAUAUGUAUACGAAAGAGAAUGGUCUCAUGAAUCUAACUUGUUUAGAUCAUAAUUCUCCUAAUUACAUAUUCCUUGGACUUAUCGUUUAAGCAUAUAACAUUUAUAUGAGACGGCUUAAAACAAUAAUCUUUGCCCUUGAUAUUAAACUAGAUUAGUUUAACAUGUGAAAUGUCCGUAAAGUAUCAUCAUAUGAUUGGUUUUAGGGCACAUUUCCAACAAUCUCCCACUUGCACUAAAGCCAAUCAGCUUGGUUAUCAGUGAUGAUACCUCUUCUGUAGUCAUUUCAUAAAAUGGCUGAGUAGUAGGCCUAGGCAAUGGAUAUCAAUAUGUUAUCCAUAGAAGCAACCUUGAGAAUAACGACGUCACCAUUAUACAUGAUUCUCAAUCAUGUGGUUCAGUCUCUCAUAUGAGUUCAGAUCUUGAUGAGACCUUGAUUCCCUGGCUUGAGCUAUCGCCCCAUUAGUGACGUAGUGUCAGUACACUAGAUACACUUUCUGGUUGGAACCGAAUAGAGAGUUCAUAAAUGAACUUUCCCAUCCAAACAACAUUGUUGUAAGCUUCUAUAUGGCAAUUUAUUUUGCAUUCAUAAUGGAACACACUAAAGUCAUUACUUUUAAUGUUUCCAUCCAAAUAUCUUUUUAGUCAUAAUAAAGAGAUAUCUGAUUAUCUUCUUCAUUCAUAAUGAAGAAACAUCCAAUGAUGGAUUAGAUUCAUAAUCUAAUACAUUUAAGCUUCCAUUACGUUACUCUAAUUCUUCCUCAUUCUUUGAGGAAUCUAUCCUUUAGUAUUUCUUAAAUACUUAAGGACUCACUUGACAGUUGCCAUGGUUCUGAUCCUGGGCUUGCACUGAUAUCGUCUUGUACCGUUUCUAGGUACAACUCAUAUCAAUGUUUUUCAUACAAUAUGAAAUACAUAAAUCACCUUUCUGCGUAUGCAUAAAGGAUUCUAUUUACGCAUUAUUUCUUUGGGAGUCAAAAGGGUACGUUCCCUUUGAGAAGGCAACUUGCUAGUCUCACUAGAGUCGUCCUUCUAAUUGAAGUUUAUCAUCAUAUGAGAAACUUCCUAGCAUUUUUUGUCUAUUAUUAGGGAUUGAUAUAAUCAAAUUAUAUCUUGAAAUAUAUCAUUAUAGAUUUCCAUCCCAUGUAUAUUAGACUAUAUCUCCCAUAUACAUUCUAUCGUUAUAGAAUGUUUAAAGUCAUAACUUUAACGAAGAAGUAUUCUUUUCAUUUCCAAAAUUAAUAUAUCAUAUAUAUAUAUUUCAAAAUUUAGGAAUUUGAUUAACUCCCACUAAUCUUUUGUAAACCUAGUAAACAAAAGAUUCAUUCACAUCUUUAUGAGAAAUCAAACGAUUUGAUCUUUCUCUCAUAAGACGCUUUUUAGCUCCCACUAGCUUGCUAAGAUCCAUGAUGGAUGGAUCUCUACAACUUACAUGUCUUGUGAUUCAUAGUUUUAGACAUAUAUAUUAUCAAGACUAUCUUAAUAAUGGUUUCGGAAAACCCAUAUUAAUGUCCAAACAUUGAAUCACCAUUUAGUUGUAGCUAGCAAUCUUCGAAUUAAUUGAAACUAAGACUACGUCAAAGAUGGUUUCUUCAAAGUCAACCAUUCUCUUUGAUUGUAGUCACCUUAAGCUACCAAUUAGCUUAUGAAGGUUUCAUUAUUUCGGGUCAAAUGGUACUUUACCAUUUCCUUGAGUAUAUAUCAUAUAUACACUCAAUGUAGUCAUAAGGAUUUUCAUUCUUAUUUCUUUCGAAUUAAGAGGUGCAACUCUAUGACAUAGUCAUAAAGUUCAAACCAUUCAACUGAGACGGUUUAUAAAUCCUUCUCGACUACCUUGGAGCUUUUGUGGUAUAGGAACUAGGUUGUUAUAUUUGUUGAUUAUUAUUCUCUCUCUCAAAGAACCCAUUCUUUGAGUUCUAUCUCUCGUUCAUUGCUCUAUCUUAGGCAAAUCCAUUGUGUAGGAUUACAAUGAACUACCCAACAAAACAACAUUUGUUAGUUGGUUUAUAGAAGCGAUAUCCAAAAGUUAAUUUAAGGAUAUCCCACAAGAUAAUUCUCAAACAAAUAUUGCUUAUUAGCACACAACCCCAAAUCUUAACAUGAUUAAGAUUUGUCUUUCUUUCCAACUACAUCUUAUGGAGUCAUGAAAAUUUUGGAAGAUCUUCUAAUUGACAAUCAUAUUGUCUUAGAAGUAUAUAUCCUAUAUAUGGGUAAUUGAUAACAUCCAACGAAACUAAAUCUUAUUCAAGUUCGUUCUUCUCCUAAUGGAGAAAUCCAUUAUCUUUUGAUGCUUCUUUCCUUGAUAUCUUUCAAGGAAACUGUUCUAAAGUGUUAUCUUUCCUUGGAUCAAAUCUAAGGAGGUAAAUACUUUAGACGUUCUUACUCAUCAACUUACAUUUCUUGAAUUCUUUGAAACCUUUUGCAAAGUAUUCGGACUUGUGUUUAUUCAAAAUAAACUAUAGUCCAACCGAGAGUGAAUCUUCGGUGAAUGUCAUAACAACAUGAGUAGUAUUAUGUUGUGGACAAGUGCCACUAACAUCUAAGUGAAUUAACCUCAACAACUUUGUGAUUCUUUCUUCUUUCCAAAAGAAUAAAGAUUCGAACAUUUCGCCUCUAUACAAUUUUAAUAAGAAGGUAUUGGAUCCGGAUCUAACGAUCCAAAGCAUCCAUCUAUGACCAACUCGUAUUUUAUGUUUUUAGAGGUAUCACAACUCAGUUGGGAUUAGUCACUAUCUUGCAACCUUUUGGGUUUUAAGCAUCCUUAUAUUCUAAACAGUUAACACUACCAUAUUAUCUCUACUAUAGAGACAAUCAAUUAGAUUACUAUAAUCCAAUCAUUGAUUAAUAAAGAACAAUGUUUUGUCAAACAAAACAUUCAUCCAUCUCUACUAUAGUGACGGAAUUAAGUUCCUUAAAAUUGGAAUGUAAAGACAAUCUUUGGUUUUUCCAAUUUCUUUGGUAGUUCAUAUGAGGAAGUAAGUACUAUCUGCUUUCGCAGAGAUCUAUAUUU
RNAcentral lists this long non-coding RNA (57056 nucleotides) under Malus domestica (apple). The record is from RNAcentral. Lineage: Eukaryota; Viridiplantae; Streptophyta; Magnoliopsida; Rosales; Rosaceae.